AUGAUAUGAAAUCUCAGAAGGAUUUCUCAAUUGAAGUUUUAUCAAAGGAAGAAGCAUUGCAAUUGUUUGGAAAGAUAGUGUGUAAUUCUGCAAAAGCAUCUGCUUUUCAACCUUUAGCAGAUGAGAUCGUUGAAAAAUGCGGAGGAUUGCCUGUUGCACUGAUUACCCUUGCAAAAGCUUUGAAAAAUGAGAGGCUUGACACUUGGAAGGAUGUGCUGCGUCAGCUAAGAAGUUCCAAUGCAAAAGAAAUUGAUGGAAUGGAAAGAAAUGUGUACAUCUCCAUAAAAUUGAGUUACGACUUACUGGGAAAUAAGGAAGCAAAAUCUCUGUUCCUUCUUUGUGGUCUAUAUACUGAAGGUGAUGUCAUACACGUUUCUGACUUAUUGAGAUAUGGUAUGGGUAUGGGCUAUUUUAAAAACGUUUACACACUGGAAGAAGCAAGGAGUAGAGUGCAUACGUUGAUCGGUAAACUCAAAUCUUCAUGCUUAUUGUUGGACGGUGAUGCCGAAGAUGAAGUUAAAAUGCAUGACAUCAUUCAUGCUGUUGCUGUAUCAAUUGCAGAAGAGGAGCUCAUGUUUAAUAUUCCAAAUGUUGCCUACGUGGAGAAAAAGAUGGAAGAGACAAUACGGGAAGGUCCAAUAGCUAUUUCUUUACCUUAUAGAGAUAUUCAAGAGCUUCCCGAAAGGUUGGAAUGUCCCCGUCUCGAGUUACUUUUGUUGUUUUCAAAGCGUGAUAGCUCUUUGCAAAUUUCAGACCUCUUUUUUCAAGGGACAGAAGAACUCAAAGUUUUAGAUUUUACUGGAAUAUUUUUCUCUUCAUUACCUUCAUCACUUGGUUGCCUCAUUAACGUUCAAACAUUAUGUUUAGAUGGUUGCCGACUGAACGAUGUAACUAUAAUUGGACAGCUAAGGAAAUUAGAGAUUCUCAGCUUCCGAGAUUCUGAUGUUAACGAGUUGCCACUUGUAAUUGGACAAUUGACGAGAUUACAGUUGCUAGAUUUGAGCAAUUGUAGCAGCCUUGUGGUGAUAGCUCCAAAUGUCAUAUCAAAAUUAUCUCGAUUAGAAGAACUAUAUAUUGGUAACAGCUUUUCACAGUGGGAGAACGUUGAAGGAGGAAGUAACGCCAGUCUUGUUGAGUUGAAGGGGUUGUCAAAGCUAACUACUUUGGAGAUACACGUUCGGGAUGCCGAAAUUCUACCGCAGGAUUUGGUCUCUGUGGAAUUGCAAAGCUAUAGGAUAUGUAUAGGAAAUAAGUGGUGGAGCAGCUGGUCCGUUAAAUCUGGAUUAUCAAGAUUGAUGAAGCUCCAGGGGCUAGAAAAGUUUGGCAUUCUUUUGCAGAAUUACAGGAUGAAACUGUUGUUGAAGAGAACUGAAUAUCUCUAUCUAGGAGAACUGAAGGGUGUUCAGAAUGUUGUUCAUGAAUUAGAUGAUGGGGAAGGUUUUCCACGAUUGAACCAUCUUUCUGUAAAAAGUUGUUCUGAGAUUUUGCAUAUUGUCUGUUCAGUUGGACGGGUUCGUCGCAAAGUCUUCCCCUUGCUGGAGUCAUUGUCUCUUCGUCGUUUGAUCAAUUUGGAGACAAUAUGUGACAGCCAACUCACAGAAGAUCAAUCUUUCAGCAACUUAAGGAUUAUAAAAGUAUCAGACUGUCACGAAUUGAAGCAUCUUUUCUCAUUCUACAUGGCCAAAAACCUACUGUGGCUUCAAAAGGUAGAAGUGUUUUUUUGCGAUGAUCUGGAAAUGAUUGUUGGUAAGUGUUGAAAUUAAGUGUUGGUGGAUUUAUGGACUUCGCCUCAAUUAUUUUGAAAAAAAAAAAAGACAACGACAAAGAUUAAUUAUGUAUAUUGUUUUAGUUUGUUUAUAGGACCCGACAUGGACAAACCAACAACUUCUUUGGGAUUCAACGAAAUCAUUGCUGAUGAUGAUCCUGCUCCAAAGGUGAUAAUUUUCUGUUCAAUAAUUAAUUGAUUAAUUUAUUAUCACGAUUAAUCUUCGAUCAUCAAAAGAAUAUUAUACUAGACGGUUGUACUUGAAGGAACAAAAAUGUACGGGUUUUCUUUGCAGGUUAUUCUUCCGAGCUUAGAGGAAUUGAAUCUCAUGUCAUUAAGAAACAUCAAAAAAUUAUGGGCCGAUCAUAAUCAAGGAAUGUACUGUUGUCAAAAUCUAACAAAGCUGCACGUGGUCGGUUGUCAUCGUAUGAAGUAUCUGUUUUCAUAUUCUAUGGUUAAUAGUCUUGCGAAACUCCAACAUCUUGAGAUAAGCUAUUGUGAGUCAAUGGAAGGGGUAGUCGACACCACGGGAUGGUCAGAAAGAGAUGAAGGAAAGUUGAUUGAAUUAAAGGUUUUUCCUAAGCUACACUCCCUGCAGCUAGAAUGGCUUCCAAGACUAAGUAGCUUUGCCAAUAUGGGACAUAUUCAUUCAGAUUUAGUUGUUGAAUUCCCUUCUUUGCUAAACCUCAUGAUUGGUUGUUGCAGUAAUAUGUUAAGAUUCAUCUCUACGAGCUCACCAGAAGACACCAUUCAUUCUGAAAUGCAACCUCCUCCUCUCUUUGAUGAAAAGGUUUUUUUUUUUUUUUUUAAUUAAAAAAAAUAAUUUUAGUCACAAUACUUGAUUUGUCUUUUCCUUGAGUCUUCAAAUUUAGUUAAUAUCCGCCUCUAAUUUAGUUAUCAAUUGAUUAUGCCAUUAAUUGAUUAACUAGUUAUUUAAUCUUUAACUGCCAGGUACGAGUUCCUAGGUUGGAGGUAUUAUAUAUUGCGUGGAUGGAUAACCUAAGAACAAUAUGGCACCACCAGCUUGCUUCGGAGUCUUUCAGGAAAUUGAAGAAUUUGGAGAUAGAAGAGUGUGAUAACCUAAUGAAUAUUUUUCCUCCAUUGGUAAGGUUGCUGUAUUCAUUUCGAUUUUUUUUUUCAAAUAACAUUCAACAAUUUUUUAAUCUUUUCUGUGUUUACAAAUGAUAUUCAGCCACUAAUUAUUUAUUUCAAAUAUUGUACUUCAAACCACCACUCUAAAAUCUACGUUUUAAGUCUAGUUUUUAGGUUCACCAGCAUUAGAAUCAACAAUAUAAUUUUUUUAAACACGAUUCAAUAGCAUAAUAUAAUUCAAUUUAAUUGUUUUUGCUCAUAUCUUAAUAAGUACGAUUUUCAAAAAUUAAAGGAUAGUCACUCAUCUUAUAAGUUCACAAAUUCAUCUAUAUAUUUCUCUUUUCCUUAGUUCUUCACAUUUCGAUUGGGAAAAAAAAAAAGAAAGUCUUCAAAUUUAAUUAAUAUCUCCAGUUUAGUUAAGAAUUGAUUAUGCCAUUACUUAACCACAAAUUCAUGAUUGUUUACAACUGACCCUUGAUUGUAAAGAAAUUUCCUCGAGUCUGGAAGUACUUAAUAAAGAUCCACUUUAUAGCAAUCCCUUGUUGACAGUACUGGGAAGUCUUUUCCAAAUUUUUUUUUUCCAUUUUUAUACAUACAUAAAAAAAAGGGGACCAAGGAAAAGGGAAAAAGAGGCAUUUUAGUUGAGUUUUUUUUAAAGGAAUAGUUGAAAUGUGCAAAUUUAUGCUUAAAAACUUAUAUCAAGAUGCAAAAUAAGUCUAAAGUAUUUAGAAAUUGCCUUAAAUUCUUUCUACGUCCCUAAUACUAAAUAGUGUAAAUACAUUUUUAUCAUCUUUGUUUAUCUGGCUUUUAUUUAUUUAUCUUGUUACCUUUUUUGUUUAACAAAAAAUUAUCUAGUAGACAUUUCACAGUUUGUUAUGUUCAUAAAACGUAUAAUUGUAUGAUUAAACAUACUUUGAGCCUAGUUGAAUGAUACUCUUACAUUUUUACUUUUUUAAUAUACACACACACACACACUCUCUCUGCUUAUUUUCAGGUUGGAAUUCCUACUAGUCUGGUGAAUCUUUAUGUAUGGAACUGCAAAAAAUUAGAAGAAAUCGUAGGACAUGCUGGAGAAGAAGUGAAGGAGAAUCGUAUUGCUUUCAGUGAAUUAAAACUUUUGGAACUUGAUGAUUUACCAAGGCUUACCAGCUUUUGUUUGGAGAAUUACACUCUUGAAUUCCCAUCAUUGGAACGAGUAUUUGUGACACAUUGUCCGAACAUGAAGACUUUUUCUCUGGGAAUCUUAUCCACACCAAAGCUGCACAAAGUGCAAGUGACUGUAAAGGAAGAUGGUGAAUUGCACCAUCGGGACGACAAUCUUAAUUCCACCAUACAAGAACACUAUACAAGAUCUCAUGGAAAUAAGUAAACCCGUAAUUUUUUUCACAGCAUCAUAAGAAAAAAUCAUUUUUUUUUUAGUAUUUUUGUUGGCUGUUGAGUUUUAACAGUAGUAGCUAUUAAACAAGAACAAUCAGUGUAUAUUAAAAAGUUGGAAACUGGUUGAUACCACUUGGGAAUCGAGCAGCUCACUUGUUUGCGAGUAGAAACCAACUUUACUACUAAUUACACUCAUUCCAAAAAUAGUAACUAAAGAAUCAGGAAAUUUCCUAUUCACUAUUCUUCAUUUUUUAAUGCAAAAUUCCCAUGAAAAUGGGAUCAAAAUACAUGUAUGUAUACCUAAAACAAAUUAUUAUUUUUAAUUAAAAAAAAACACAGUUGAGGUGAAAUGAAACCAGAGUCAUGAUAUCUCUGGUUCCAACUUUGGGACAACAGCAGACUUGAGUUCUAUAUGAGAAACACGUACAGCACCAAUCAGCCGCUCCAAGACACACGAAGCGUUAUGCCAUUCCGAGAACAUUCAAGCGUUAUAUCUCAAAAUCAUGUCUUUUCCCUUGUGUCUGUUAAGGAAGCACACUGAGCACGUGUGAACUAAGAGUAGCUGCACGAUAAGCAUGUGUUAGUUAAAGAAGUAUAUGCCAGCUCAGCCAAUUAGUUAAGCAGGCUUUUGAUUCUGUUAUAGUUGUGUACCUUGCUUUAAUUCUGUUUUUAUGAUGUAAGCAACGAGUAUAAACACUGCUACGUUUGUCAUUUGUAUGUUAUGGAAAGAAAAGAAAUCCAGAAUAUUCUAUUUCACUUUCUCAUGAAUUUUCUGAGCUUCCAAACAAAAUUAUCAGUUCAAUUUUAAGCUUUUCAACAGUGUCCAUUUAGACGUGCAAAAAAAACAAUCAUACAUACCUGUACAAGGAAAGCCAUGUCAACCACCGACCGAUGUUGUAAUUACACCAAUUACGACAAGGCCCAAAACUCCACUAGCAAAAGUAGAAUAACAUCUAUGCCAACAUCAAUCUAUAGAGAGAUGAACAUGUUAAUGGUAUCGGACGAGCUAUUUGAACGGGAAACAUCUCAUGUACUAUAAUAGAAAUUUUAAGAGCAUUUACUUCUAAGUACUGGGGACCGCGGAUAUAGUUACAACCAACUGCAUUUAGAAACAAAAAUUUGCGCUUGCGACAAGAGCUGAUCUCUUCAUUCCCCUGUUUAGUAAUAAAAAAAAAUCAAAAUAGCGGAGAAACAGGGCCCUCUUUUCAUUCCCCUGUUUGAUAACAAUAAAAACAAAACAGAGGAGAAACGUGGGCUCUCUUUUCAUUCCCCUGUUUUUCUUUUCGGUUUGGCGAUUUUAAAAUUUUAUAUCCACAUUCAUUAAAAAAAAAAAAAAAAGUUAUUCCAAAAAGAUUUUCUAUUUUCAUAUAGACGUUUAUUUAUUAACCAAAAUUUAAAAAGUGUAAUUCUAAACUUAUCCUUGUGCUUUGAUCUUGGAGGGGUUUUUCAUUUUUUCUACACUGGCCAUAUCAAUUAAUGAUGAAAGUUCUUAUCCUUAAUUGCUUUUGAAAUGAGUGAGCACGGUAUGACCCUUAAGAGAAUUAAUUAAUUGGACAAGUUAUAUAACGCCUUUGAUAUGGCUCCUAGACAUGUAUGCAAUUUGUAUCUUUCCUCAAGUAUGCAUGAGAAUACUUGAGGAAAGCUUCACAAUAGUUACGGCCGGAUCUGCACUUCACAAGUCCUAAUAGGGAAGUAUAAAUAUAUGCUUCUGGAACAGUGCAACUCUCCAUAAUAAGUACCUAAGAAUAGACAAAUUUUCAUUACAAUAGAAUGAUAAAUUAUAAUAAUAUUGACACAAUGAUGCCAAUAAUAAGAAUCUUAACAAAUCUACUAAUUUUAGAAUAUGGCUUAGAGUGCUACAAUGAACCACAACAAGUUAUCGAUAUUAUAAUAUCUAUAAUUAAUAUUCCAAUAAUAACUGGGGCUCCUUUGUUUUCAUUCCCCUACUUUUCUGUUAAGUGAUUGCCAAAUUUUUAUAUCUAAAAUUCUUCUAAUUUUAAACUAAGGUUUAUUUAGAAAAAAAAAGGGAGAGAGAGAGAGAGACUCGAAGAGCAUUAAAAAAUGUAAUUUUUAAUUUUCACUUAAGCAUUGUGUGACUUUUAUCAUUUUUUAAAGUUGGCCAUUUGUACUGAAUAAAUAAAAUAAUGGAUAGACUUAUGGACCACUUUUUUUCUGUUAUAUUAAAACAUGAGAUGUCUUUUCUUGAUGUUUUCAUCACACAAGAAUCUGUUUAUGUCAUCAUGCAUCAUGGGUUUAAAUGGGGUAAAUAAAUUAAGAUCGAGGGCAAGUUUGUUUAAGUUCUAAAGUUGCUGAAUAUAAAAAGGGCUGAUAUGAAAAUUACCUAAAGUUUCAAAUAUUGUUAUUCAGCAACCACUUUUAGGUUGCAUUAGUUUCUACACAAAUUUUAUAUAAAUAAUUUAUAACUCCCAUUAUUAUUUAAAAAACUGUAGCAAUUGUUGAAAAAAAAUUCUAAUUAAAGAAAUUGACAUUAUAAUUUAAGGGAUAGUUGCUGUUUUAAUCAUUAGAACUUAAGUCAAUUAUCCAGCUUAUCCUUGUAUUCUUAAAAACUAUAUAAAAUACCAUUAUCUCUUCUUUUGUAGCUAUUGAAUUCGACUUUCACAACAUAAAUAUUUAUUAGCAACAACUUAAAAUUCAAACAAAUAUAAUAUGUAAUGUAUGAAAUACAAAUAAUAGUUAAACAAAUUUUGAUUAUUUACUAUUAAAAUACAUUCACAUUAAUAUCUUAAGGAUAGGUGGUACUCAAAUAAUUUUUUAAAAAUCAGACCCAAAUUAUAUGCAUUGUUAAUAUGUAUUAUUGUCUAAUAUUUGGAUUUUGUUAAGUUACAACUGUUGUAACUUACGAUCUCUUCAAAAAAGAAAAUUGAGUCCCACCACCUAUUAAAUUUUUUACAUUAUUUUUUAAAAGACUGUAAGUUACAUCAGUUGUAACUUAACAGCACCCUUAAUAUUUUACUUUACUUUUAUAUCUUUACAAAACAAUACCAACAAGACAAUAAUGUAUGAAAUAAAUAAAAUAAAUAAAUAAAGAACUGAUAGCGAAAUUAAGUCUAUCAUUAGUUUCUUGUGGUGUGAACUCUUGACAAUUCUCCCACCUAAAACUCUCUAGUGGUGUGAACUUUUGACGAUUCUCCAAAAAUUUGUCAUAUUGCAAAAAGCAAUGUCAAUUGUAAUGUCAUUUCCAUUAGUCAUAGUGGCAGAUAGGACUAGAAAUUGUUGAAACCCAUUGACUUAUUUUUCUUUCUAAAAAUAAGAAAAGCACACCCGUCCGGGGAAAUAAUUUUGUAGUACCUCAUGUCGUGAAUAAGGGACAAUACGAUCCUUUUUUUAUUAUAGUAUUUUUAAAUUUAUUAACUAAAAAAUUAAUUCUAAUAUUUUAUAAUAAAUAUAAGUAGGAUAUUAAAAUGAAUAUAAUAAUGUAUACAUAUUAAAAUAAUUUCAAUAUCUAAAAAUAUUUUAAUAUUUUAAAAUCUCGUAGUCUAUUAAACCAAAUAAUAAUAAAUAGAGACAUAAUAUUCAAAUAAAUACAUAAAAAUUUAAAUUGUUUUCAAUAUCACAUAAAAUAAUUUUAAUAUUAUUAAUACAUGAGAAAUAUUAUAUUAAUUGUAAAAUCUAUUUAACCUAAGGAUUCAUUUAAAAUUUUUUGUAAUAAUUACAAGUAUUUUAUAGAUACAAAUAUAUUAAUUCACAUUUUAAAAAUUAAUAUUGAAAUUAAUUAUUUAAAUUUUAUAAAAAAUUUUGAAGUCUUUUUUUUUUUUUUGGCUACCAUCUACUAAGAGUAGUAUUAUGAUCAAAAGGGGUAUUGGUAUCCUAUAUUAAAAAUUUGAGGUCUACGUGACUAUUUUUCUAAAUUUUUAGGGUAUCAUUUUGUUUUUGACAAAAGUAAAAUUUCAUUUUUGACAAAAAUAAAAUUUCAUUUAAAUGGCUAAAAUGGUGAAUAAAAUAAUACUACAGUGGGCGUAAAUGGAAGGUAAGAAACAAUGAAAAUGAAUAGUCUAAUGUCACCACAGGCACAUAAGGCCAAAGUUUGUUACAUCUGAUCAAGGACAAUUUAGUAUGUGGAGUGGGUCCUGCGUGUCAUUUUUUGGGCAUCUACCUUCUUCAGCAUUGAAGAUUUGAUGUUGACGACAUUUUAAAAAUUUGGAAGACCCAUCAUACAUUUGGAUGGUUGUCAUUAUUUGAUAUUAUCAUUAUCUCGUGGUGAUCCUAUUAUUUAUGUGGCAAAAGAGGUAAUUAAAUAAAAUUUAAUUGGAUGUAACACUUGUUUCGCGUUGUGAACUUUUGACAAUUCCCCUAUAUCCCUCCAAAAACUUUCGUCAUUUUGCCAAGAUACCUAACGAUUGUAAUGUAAUUUUCAUUAUUCAUAGUGCCAGAUAAUGGAGGUCCAGGAACGGACCAGAAAUUAUUGCUACCCGUGGACUUUUCCAAUUUAUUUUUUUUCUUUUGGAUGGUUGACGUUAUUUGAUAGGAGGACGAGAUAGAGAUAGAGUUCUUAAUCGAACACCCGUUUUAUUUAAUGGGGAAAUUAUCAUUUCACCACUACUCUUUUGCCUUAUGCUCAUUCAAUUACUACAAAAUUUUAACAUGUUCUCUGCACUACUUUUCUUUUUUAAAUUUGUAUCAAUUACUCACUUUUAUACUAACACCAUUAAAUAAUUUAAACAAAAUAAUAAAUUUACCCCUAAAUAAAUUAAAAGACCAUUUUAUUUUAUAAAAACUUAAAAAAUAAAAAAUAAAAAUUAUAAUUAUAAUUAUAAAAAUACCCCUAAAUUUAAUAAAGAAAUAAAUCCCCAAAUUAGAAUUUUUAUUUUAAUAAAAAUUAUAAUUAUAAAAUAAUUGCAAAAUUUUGGGAUUUAAUAAACAUCCCCUAAAAUAUUAAAUUUUGGGAUUUAUUUUUAAUAAAUAAAUUUAGUUAUUUUAAUAAAAUUUUACAAAAUUAUAAAUUUGUAAUAAAAAUAAGCUGAGCGCCUCUAUUUUGGAUUAUUUUUUAUUAAAUUUAGGGGUAUUUUUGUAAUUCUAAUAUUUUUUUUCAAAGCUUUUAUAAGAUAAAAUGGCAUUUUAAUUUAUUUAGGAGUAAAAUUAUCAUUUCGUUUAAAUUAUUUAACAGUAUUAGUGUAAAAGUGGCUAAUCGAUUCAAAUUUAAAAAGAAAGAUAGUGCAGAAAACAUGUUGAAAUUUUGUGGUGGUUAAAUGAACAUAAGUCAAAAGAAAGAUGGUAGAAUGAUAAUUUCCCUAUUUAAUAUGGAAGAAGAUCUUUAAACUCUCAGUGAGGCUAUGGCUUCAACAGAUGCAGCCUUGUGGAAAGAGGCAACAAGUAAUGAGAUAGACUCAUUAUUAUCUAAUCAACUAGAUGCAUCAACAAGAUCUUAACUUAGAUUGGAACUUGAAGCAUUGUUGUUUGAAACAUUGGCUCAAGCCUUUAGAGCGAGGUUGGAUGCAAAAUGAUUUACAACAAAGAAAGGAAAAAAUAAAUUUACUAAUUUACAAAAUAAAUUUAGUAAAUUAAUAAAGUCAUUAUAUGAUCUUAAAUAAGCACUAAAGCAACAGCAUGAAAAUUUUGAUUCUAUGAUCAUGUUGCAUGGAUUUUAACAUAAUAACGAUGAUAAAUGCAUUUAUUCUAAAUUAAUGGAUAAAUAUGGUAUGAUAAUUUUCCUCAUUUGAGAAAGAAUUCUUAAAUAAUGUCCCAUAUUAAUUAGUAAAAGAGAGUCACUUGGGCUUAUAAGUAGUAGAGAUGGGCAAAAUUGGAUGCAGAUGAUAUUCGGGUUAAUAUGAUCAGAUUUUGGAUUGUUCGGAUUGAUAAAAAGUCAUAUGAAUGCAAUAUGAACUUGCAUCCAAUCCGAUUAUGUACGGAUCAUAUUCAAAUUGGAUGAAUAGUGCAGAUUAAUUUGGAUUCGGAUCAGAUCGAUAAUAUCAAACUGAAAUCGGAAUCAGAUGUGUUCGAAUAAAUCAGAUGAAUUUCAAUCACUUGCAAGUUGAAAUACAAAAUUGAAAAAUCAUAGAAAUUAAGAAAAAAAUGCAGCAAGCUAGCAAAUGGAAGAACAAAGGCAAAAAAUUAUAUUAUAAAUUAAUCGUAAAAAGGUGCUAUUAGCAAUUGUUGCACAAUGCGAAAAUGUCCUGGAACUCGCUGUGUAGACAUGCAAAAGUUCCGUAAGUGCAUUAACAAUUAUUUUCCAAAAAAAGGUUGUUGCGUCAAUAUUAAAGGAAUUGACAUCCAGGGACCCAGUUUAGUUGCUUAAUGAUUAAUUAAUUAAUCAAUUUAUAAUAUAUUAAUCUUUUAAGUUGAAUACUUAAAAUCUUAGACCCCAAACAAUAAAUCAUCUGAGUAAUAUAAAAGAGAAAUUAUCAUCCUAUUUUUUAUUUGACUUCUUGUAGCUUAUAAAAGAGAAAUUAUCAGUCAUUUACUCAAAGUUUAUUCAGUUAUUAAAAUUAAUAUAAAAUUUAAAUUUAUUUAAUUUUACACUCAAUGUAUGCAAUUUGUAUUAAACAUCCGUUAAAAACAUAAAGUUAUUCCAUCAAAGUGACAAAAUAGAAGCGAACACAAAAUUGUAUUGGUGAUUAUGUUUUAAGAGUAAUUUUAUCUUUUUAGUAAACAGUUAUCCACAUUGUAACAAUGGGUAUAAAAUUAAGUAUAUUUAAAUUUUUAUAACUUUUAGGAUAAUAAGAUAAUUUUUAGGUGGAUGACUGAAAAUUUUUCUUUUCAAAAUAUUUUGAAAACAAUACCAAAUGUACCAAAACAUUGUUUACUUACACUCUAUAUAUAUAUAUAUAUAUAUAUAUAUAUAUAUAUAUAUUUAAUUUCUUAACUCAUUCUUAUCCUUAUUCUUGCUAACAUAUCCACAAUCUGUCAAUGAAAUUUACUUUUAUAAAUUUGAAGAUUCUUUCAUGCAAUUUUGUACGAUAAUGAGUUCUCAUGUCUCUGUUAAAAAAGAAUUCGUAAAUAAUACAAAUGAAAAAAAAACAAAAAGUAGCAGGGCUGGCAAUACAAACCAUAACUUUUUUUCUUUGAAAUAUGCAUAAAUAAAGUUAAUAGUGAUGUGUCAGCACGAUCUUGAGAGCACGGCUUGGAGUCUCAAUAAUUAUUGACACUCAUAUUUGAAAACUUUUGAAAAGAUAAAAUCCAAUAUGAAAGGUGAAAUGUUAUAAUCAUAGUAACUAGAAAAUUGAUUGAUUUACAAAUAUCAAUUUAAACAAUUUUCAUGUUGAUCGACAAUUUAAGUAGAUUGACAAAGAUUGAAGUAAUUACUGUUGGUGAUUGAUUGACUUUGUCCUUAUCCUUGCCUUCUUCUUAUCAAAAAUCGAGUGUCAAUUAAAUUGGGCCAGGGCUUCUGAUUGCAACUAAUAGACUUCAUAUACGCAUAAUGCUCCCUACGGACAUACGUACCAGUAUUUGAUUGAAAAAGGGAUGCGUGCUUAAUGCUCAAGUCGUCUUCUUCUGGAAAUUCAUUGUUAUUACUCUCAUCAACUCGUUACUCACAUUCCUCUUUAGUCAACAGAGAUCUUUUGCUCAAUAAAAUUUUUCUUCUAUAUUCAAGGUGAAUACAGCAGCUCAUCAACUCUGAUCCCAGACAGGUAAAGAGGCGCACUUGUUCUAAAACCUUUAAUAUUCUUUUAGUAACAGAAUCUCUGAUACUUGUUCUUCAUAGCGGUUCUUUCUUAAUUUCCAUCACCUUUCCUAGGAAAAAAUUCUUUGGUUUUUCUUAAUCAUAUCAUUUAUUUUUCUGAAGUCAUAUAAUUUAGUUUUAGUAGCAGAAUACUUGAUAUUGAUAGCGGUUCUUUCUUAAUUUCCAUCAACUUUCCUUGAAGGAUACCUUUCUGUUAAUAGCAAAACAUCUGAUCCUUAAGAUAGAAAAAGAAAUUCUCUAUUUAGGUAUCAGUUGGUUCAAGAUCAAUAUCGCGAUGUUGUUUGCGGUCUUUUCUUUCUCCGUCUUUCCCUUUAGUUCAGUUUAAUUUAUUUGUUUUCCUUUCUUUGAUAUAUUAUUAGAUUUGUUAAGUAGCAGACAAUGGCAGAAGUUGGUCUGGCUGCUUUUUCCAGCAUUGUAUCAGAAGGUGCAAAGUCACUGUUCAAACCGAUUAUACGGCAGAUAUCUUAUGUGUUCAAGUACCAGAGCUACAUAGAUGAGCUAAAAGAUAAAGUGAAGCGGCUGGAACAUAAAAGAGAAAGGGUGGAAAUACCCGUUCAUCAGGCAACUCAACAAGGAGAUGAGAUUUAUAAGGAUGUUGCAGACUGGCUUAAUAGCGUCAAGGAAUUCACUCAGGGAGCUGCAAAAUCCAUCACUGAUGAUGAAGAUAGAGCUAAGAAGUUCUGUUUCAAAGGAUUGUGCCCAAACUUGAUCUCUCGUUACAAGCUCAGUAAACAAGCAGCAAAGGCUGCAGAAGCUGCCGCUAGUCUCGUGGGAAAAGGCAACUUCUCCAAUGUUUCCCACCGUCCUACUCCAAAGCUGGUAGAACAUAUGCAAGUGAAAGAUUUCGAGGCCUUUGACUCAAGAAUGAAAGUAUUUCAAGAUGUUUUGGAGGCGUUGAAGGAUGAUAAGCUCAAGAUAAUUGGGGUCUACGGGAUGGGCGGCGUGGGUAAAACCACGCUUGUCAAGCAAGUUGCGAAGCAAGUGAUGGAAGAUAAGUUGUUCGAUAAGGUCGCUAUGGCUGAGGUAACAGAGAACCCAGAUCAUCAGAAAAUUCAAGACAAACUAGCUUCUGAUUUAGGCAUAAAGUUUGAGUUGAAUGAGAGUAUAUUCGACAGAGCAAAUCGACUAUGUGGAGUAUUGAAGAACAAGGAGCGGCAUCUCAUUAUAUUGGAUAAUAUUUGGAGAGAACUGGAGUUCGAUAAAGUUGGAAUUCCUUCCAGGGAUGUCGAGAAAGAAAGAAUGGAUGAUCAGAGACGAUGCACAAUAAUACUGACGUCUAGACGUCAAGAUUUAUUGCGCAAUAUUAUGAAUUCUCAGAAAGAAAUCCAGAUCGAUGCUUUAUCAAAAGAAGAAGCAUUGCAUUUAUUUAAGAAGAUAGUGGGUGAUUCAAUGAAAACAUUUGCUUUUCAAUCUAUAGCAGAUGAGAUCGUUGAAAGAUGCGGAGGACUGCCUGUUGCACUGAUUACACUUGCAAAAGCUUUGAAAAAUGAGAGGCUUGACACUUGGAAAGAUGUGUUGAAUCAGCUAAGAAGUUCCAAUGCAAAAGAAAUUGAUGGAAUGGAAAUAAAUGUGUACAUCUCCAUAAAAUUGAGUUACGACUUAUUGGGAAGUAAGGAAGCAAAAUCUCUGUUCCUUCUUUGUGGUCUAUUUAGUGAAGGUCAUGCUAUACCAGUUUCUUCCUUAUUGAGAUAUGGUAUGGGUAUGGGCUAUUUUAAAAACGUUUACACACCGGAAGAAGCAAGAAGUAGAGUGCAUACGUUGAUCGGCAAACUCAAAUCUUCAUGCUUAUUGUUGGACGGUGAUACUGAAGCUAAAGUUAAAAUGCAUGACGUCAUUCAUGCUGUUGCUGUAUCAAUUGCAGAAGAGGAGCUCAUGUUUAAUAUUCCAAAUGUUGCCGACUUGGAGAAAAAGAUGGAAGAGACAGUACAGGAAGGUCCAAUUGCUAUUUCUUUACCUUAUAGAGGUAUUCAAGUGCUUCCUGAAAGGUUGCAAUGUCCCUGUCUUGAGCUAUUGCAUACGGAGGGUGAUGGCUCUAUGCAAGUUUCAGACCACCUUUUUAAAGGGACGGAAGGACUCAAAGUUUUGAAUUUUAAUCGAAUUCACUUCUCUUCAUUACCUUCAUCACUUGGUUGCCUCAUUAACCUUCAAACAUUGUGCUUAGACUAUUGCCGACUAAAAGAUAUAGCAAUAGUUGGACAGCUAAAGAAAUUAGAGAUUCUCAGCCUUGUAUAUUCCGAUAUCAAGCAGUUACCACUUGAAAUUGGACGAUUGACGCGGUUACAGUUGCUAGAUUUGAGCAAUUGUUGGAGCCUUGAGUUGAUACCACCAAAUGUCAUAUCAAAAUUAUCUCGAUUAGAAGAAUUGUUUAUGCAUAACAGCUUUUCACAGUGGGAUAAGGUAGAAGGAGGAAGUAAUGCCAGUCUUGUCGAGUUGAAGGGGUUGUCAAAGCUAACUACUUUGGAGAUACAUGUUUCGGAUUCCGAAAUUCUGCCGCUGGAUUUUGUCUCUGUGGAAUUGGAAAGAUAUAAGAUAUUUAUAGGACAAAUGUCUGUCCGGUGGCUCGUCGAAUCUAAAACAUCAACAUUGAUGGUGCUCAAGGGGCCAGAACAAGUUAGCCUUCUUUUGGGGAAUGAUGGGACGAAAAUGUUGCUGAAGAGAACUGAAGAUCUCCGUCUAUGCUCACAGAAGGGUGUUCAGAAUAUUGUUCAUGAAUUAGACGAUGGGGAAGGUUUUCCACGAUUGAAGCAUCUUCAUGUAAAAAGUUGUUCUGAGAUUUUACAUAUUGUCGGUUCAGUUGGACGGGUUCGUUGCGAAGUCUUUCCCUUGCUGGAGUCAUUGGAUCUUAUUAAUUUAACUAAUUUGGAGACGAUAUGCUACAGCCAACUCAGAGAAGAUCAAUCUUUCAGCAACUUAAGGAAAAUAAACGUAGAUUUCUGUCCAAAAUUGAAGUAUCUCUUCUCAUUCUCUAUGGCCAAAAACCUAUUGCGGCUUCAAAAAGUAAAAGUGGAAAACUGCGAUGAUUUGAAAAUGAUUAUUGGUAAGUGUUGAAAUUAAUUAUUGGUAGGAUUAUUGACAUUGACUCAUUCUUUUUUUCUUUUCUUUUUUUUUUUUUGGUGAAAAAAACAACGGAUGUUUAUUAUAUAUUGUUUUUGUUCAUUUAUAGGGCCCGACAUGGAGAAACCAACAACAACUCAGGGAUUCACAGAAAUCAUUGCAGAGGAUGAUCCUGUUCACCAAGUAAUAAUUUUCUGUUUAAUAAUUAAUUAAUUAAUAUAUUAUCACGAUUGAUCUUCAAUCAUCGAAAGAAUAUUAUAUUAGAAGUUGUAGUUGAAGGAACAAAAAUGUAUGGUUUUUCUUUGCAGGUUACUUUUCCACGCUUGGAGGAACUGAAACUUGUCAGUUUAACAAACAUCAAAAAAUUAUGGCCCGAUCAAUUUCAUGGAAUGUAUUGUUGUCAAAAUUUAACAGAAGUGACCGUGUUCGGUUGUGAUCGUCUGAAGUAUCUGUUUUCAUAUUCUAUGGUUAAUAGUCUUGGGCAACUCCAACAUCUUGAGAUACGAAAUUGCUGGUCAAUUGAAGGGGUAGUCAACACCACGGGGUUAGGAGGAAGAGAUGAAUUGAAGGUUUUUCCCAAACUACACUACCUGUCGCUCCAUUGGCUUCCAAAACUAAGUAGCUUUGCCUCACCAGAAGACGUCAUUCACACUGAAAUGCAACCUCAAUCCCUCUUUGAUGAAAAGGUUUUUUUUCAUUGAAUUUUUAAAUUCUCUUUUCGUUGAGUCUUCAAAUUUAAUUAAUAUCCAUCUCUAACUGCAUUGAAUUUUCAACUUCAGGUACGACUCCCAAGUCUGGAGGUAUUACAUAUUAAGAGGCUGGAUAAGUUGAGAAAAAUAUGGCACCACCAGCUUGCUUCGAAGUCAUUUAACAAAUUGAAAAAAUUUGAGAUAUCAGGGUGUCAUAAUCUACUGAAUAUUUUUCCUCCAUUGGUAAGAUUGCUAUAUUCAUUUUGAAUUUUUAUUUCAAAUAACAUUCAACAAUUAUUUUAAUCAUUUUUGUGUUUACAAAUAAUUUUCAUUCACAAAUUAUUUAUUGCAAGUAUUGUACUUCAAACUUCUGGAGGGAAAAAAAGUAGUGUACUUCAAAUCACCAUUCUGAACUCUGCAUUUUCAAUCUAAUUUAUAGGUUCACCUGCAUUAAAGUCAACAAUAUAAUUGUUUUAAACACGAUUCAACAGCAUAAUAUGAUUCAAUUUAAUUGUUUUUUUUCUUAAAUCCUAAUAAAUAAGAUUUCCAGAAAUUAAAAGAUACUUAGUUACUCAGCUUUUAAGUUCACAAAUUCAUAUAUAUUUCUCUUUUCCUUGGGUCUUUAGAUUUCGAUUUUAAAAAUAAAAUAAAGAAAAGUGUUCAAAUGUAGUUAAUAUCUCUAGUUUAGUUAUGAAUUGAUUACGCCAUUGAUUAAGCACAAAUUCAUGAUGGUCAUUUUGAAUCGACCGUUGAUUAAAAAAUUUCCUCAAAUAUUCACUCUAUAACAGUCCCAUGUUGAUGGCGUUGGGAAGUGUUUUCCAGAAAUGUUUUCCAUUUUUAAAAGCAUGAAUAUCGGGAAAAAAAAAAAUGGGAAAUACAGCGUUUUAGUUUAGUUAUUUUAAAAAUAGGCAUGUUUGAAAAUUAAAAAUUUUUAAAAACUAGCAUCAAGAUGAAAAAUGAAUUUAGAAUAUUUAAAAAUUACCUGAAAUUCUUUCUCUGUUCCUAAUACUAAAUAGUGUAAAUGCAUUUUCAUUAUCUUUGUUUUUCUGGUCUUCUAUUUAUUUAUUUUUGUUUUAAUUUUUUCCUUUUUUUCUUUAACAAAAAAUAUCUAGUAGACAUUCAUGGUUUGUUAUUUUUCAUAAAACAAUUGUAUGAUUUUGACAUACUUUGAAUCUAGUUGAAUGCUACUCUUUAUUUUCAGGUUGGAAUUCCCAAUAGUCUAGUGAAUCUUAAUGUAUCAUACUGUGAAAAAAUAGAAGAAAUCAUAGGACAUGUUGGAGAAGAAGCGAAGGAGAAUCGUAUUGCUUUCAACGAAUUAAAACAUUUGGAACUUGAUCAUUUACUAAGGCUUACCAGCUUUUGUUUGGAGAAUUACACUCUUGAAUUCCCAUCAUUGGAACGAGUAUCUGUGACACAUUGUCCGAACAUGAAGACUUUUUCUCAGGGAAUCGUAUCCACACCAAAGUUGCACGAAGUGCAGGUGAGUAAAAAGGAAGUAUUAAGUUUUAUAUGAAACUGUGAUGUUGUUUGGUUACUAAGAAAAUAGGAAGAAAGAAAACUUCUGUAAGCUGAGAAUUCUGUUAUUAUUGACCUAAUGAAUCUGGAAAUUACAAGCCUUUUUAUAUGUGCAUAGAAGAUUCUACACACAUUGCACACACGCACAGUUUAAUACUAACAACCUCUAUAACAACCUUUAGCUGACUCAGCUGCCAUGUCAGCAUACUCAUUAACUAACUAAUUCUAUUCUUAACAGGAAGAGGGUGAAUUGCGCCGUUGGGAAGGCAACCUUAAUUCCACUAUACAAAAGUGUUACGAAGAAAUGGUAUGUGUUAAAUCGAUUCGUCGAAAUUACUUAUGCAUCUCCCUUGCACUUGCACAUUUAAGUAUAUACACCUGCCUUGUAUAUAUAGUUUUAGAAGUUAAAACACAAAACAUGUAAGUUUAAUGUAUAUAUAUCUAAUGCCUUUCAAAAAGAAAAAAAAUUGUAUAUAUCCAGUGCAAUUGUUUUGGUUUGUGCAGAUUGGAUUUCGUGACAUAAUGCGUUUGCAACUUUCGCAUUUUCCACGUUUGCAAGAAAUAUGGCAUGGCCAAGCACUGCCUGUCAGCUUCUUCAACAAUUUAAGAGAGCUGGUGGUGGAUGACUGCACGAAUAUGUCGAGUGCUAUUCCUGCCAAUCUGCUACGGUGCUUGAACAAUUUGGAAUACCUGGCAGUGAGGAAUUGUGAUUCACUAGAAGAGGUGCUUCAUUUGGAAGAACUAAUUAAUGCUGAGGAAGAACAUUUUGGCCAACUGUUCCCUAAUCUUUACGAGCUAAAGCUCAUUGAUCUUCCAAAACUCAAAAGAUUCUGCAACUUCACUGGGAAUAUAAUUGAACUGCCUAAGUUGGACAAUCUAACUAUUGAGAAUUGCCCUAGUAUGGAAACACUGCCUGUCAGCUUCUUCAACAAUUUAAGAGACCUGGUGGUGGAUGACUGCACGAAUAUGUCGAGUGCUAUUCCUGCCAAUCUGCUACGGUGCUUGAACAAUUUGGCAUGGCUGAAAGUGAGGAAUUGUGAUUCACUAGAAGAGGUGCUUCAUUUGGAAGAGCUAAGUGCUAAGGAAGAACAUAUAGGCCCCAUGUUUCCUGAGCUUUCCCUGCUAGGGCUCAUUGAUCUUCCAAAACUCAAAAGAUUCUGCAACUUCACUGGGAAUAUAAUUGAAAUGCCUAAGUUGGAAUAUCUCAUUAUUGAGAAUUGCCCUGAUAUGGAAACAUUCAUAUCCAACUCUGUAGUGCACGUGACAACAGAUAACAAGGAACCUCAAAAAUUAACAUCAGAAGAGAACUUCUUGCUGGCUCAUCAAGUACAACCUCUCUUUGAUGAAAAGGUGAUUAUUAUUAUUAUUAUUAUUUUUCCCUUCACUUUCGUUUCAUAGAUGUAAUUUCAUUAGAAUCAAAUCAAAUUUAAUGACUCAUCUUUUUGCACGUCGUCUUAAUUUUUAUAUGAUUUAACAAUAUAACUGCAGUUAUUAACUAUCUUUAUAGUAUGAAUUAUAAAAAUGUCUGAAAUUAAUUGGAUGCCUGAUAACACGAGGUGAUCUAUUAAUUAUGUGUAUUACAUCUCUGUUUUCCUAGCUAAUUCAUAUUGGAUUUAGCAUCAGAUUUCAUUUAUGUGUUUCAAAGGGUAAUCGAUUUGAUACUUAUAUUUGGGAUCCUACUGCAAAGCAUACUAAUUUGGAAAUAAAAUAUAAAAUGCCGUGAUUAAUCUUGUCCAUAAAAUAUGCAGGGGAAGACUGCAGAGAUUGGAUACAUAUUUUCAUUUACAACUUAAUUUUGUUGAUUUUUAGGUUGCAUUCCCUCAAUUGAGUUGGUUAACGCUAUCUGGAUUACACAAAGUGCAGCAUCUCUGGAAGGAAAAUGACGAAUCCAACAAAGCGUUUGCAAACUUGGCAAGUCUAGAAAUAUCGGAAUGUAUUCAGUUGCAAAAAUUAGUACCACCUUCGUGGCAUUUGGAAAAUAUGUGGGGACUGGAAGUAUCGAAGUGUCACGGGUUGAUAAAUGUGUUGACGCUCUCAGCAUCUAAAAAUCUAGUGAACCUUGAAAGAAUGAAGAUAGCUGAUUGCAAAAGGAUAGAAGAAAUCAUACAGUCGCCGGUUGCAGAAGAAGCGAAAGAUUGCACUGUUUUCAAGAAAUUGAAGUACUUGACACUUGAUUGUUUGCCAAGCCUAACAAGCUUUUGUUUAGGUAAUUACGCUCUUGAAUUCCCGUCCUUGAAACAAGUAGUUGUGAGACAGUGUCCAAAAAUGAAGAUCUUCUCUCAAGGAGUCUUAGACACACCAAUGCUAAACAAAGUGAACGUCACCGAAGAAGAAAAAGAUGAUGAUGAUGAAGGAUGUUGGGAAGGCAACCUCAAUGACACCAUAAAAAAAUUGUUCAAUGAAAUGGUGAGUAUCAAUUAAGUUUUGAUGCUAUUUAGCAAAUUAUUUUAUAGAAACUAAUGUGAUAUAAUAUGAUUGGUUGACUGAAAAUAUAUAAUAAUAAUAAUAAUAAUAAAUAAAUAAAUAAAUAAAUUAUGAGGACCAUGUAAUGUUUUUGUUUAAUCAAUCAUAUUAUGUCGCAUUAGUUUAUACAAUAUUAUUUGUGCACAAGAGGUGGUGGUCAUAUCAUUACUCUAGCUUUAUUAUUCUUAUGGUGGCAAUGUAUGCUUGCUUACACGAGUAAUUACAAAAUCUGCAGAAUUCUAAAGAAGAGAUUGAGCCAACCCUUCAGGUACAGUGAAGAAGCUAUCCCGAACCAGGCCAAUCUCUUAUACAUGAUUCAGCUUGCUCGUUCUUCUGUACUUGAAUAAUUUGGUUCUAUAUAUUUACAAUUUUUCGCUCAUGCUACAGACUUGCAAGACACUUUGGAUUUUGUUUGAUGCAUUCUCCGUUUAAGAAAGGACUUGAAUUGAUGUUUCAUGUUUCAUGCAAUAUUCAAUUAGAUUCUGCCUAAAUUUCUGUAUUAUUCGUUCAAUUGGUCUUUUAAGCAUUUGAUUUCUAACCUCUCCUAAUGGAAGAUCAUUAUCUGAAGAAAACAGCAUAACAUUUGUGGCAUUAUCAGAAUAAGAAUAUUUUUGAGUAUAGUAAAAUUAUCUCCACCACUGUUAAAAAGAAUUAAUCAGUCAAACUGACCUCACACCAGCACGCUUUAAAUUAAAAGAAUUUCGUGAAGUCGAGACCAUGUUAUAGAUCUCAUGGAAAGAAGUAAACCCGUAAUUUUUUUCACAGCAUCAUAAGAAAAAUCAUUUUUUUUAAGUAUUUUUGCUAGCUGUUGAGUUUUAAUAGUAGUAGCUAUUAAACAAUAACAAUUAGUGUAUAUUAAAAAGUUGGAAACUGGUUGAUACCACUCGGGAAUCGAGCAGUUCACUUGUUUGCGAGUAGAAACCUACUUUACUACUAAUUACACUCAUACCAAAAAUAGUAACUAAAGAAUCAGGAAAUUUCCUAUUCACUAUUCUUCAUUUUUUAAUGCAAAAUUCCCAUUCGAAAACACCAAUGACUUUCAUUCAAAGUAAAUGAGAAAUUACAAUGAAAAUAGAAUCAAAAUACAUGUAUGUAUACCUAAAACAAAUGAUUUUUUUAAUUAAAAAAAAAACACAGUUGAGGUGAAAUGAAACCAGAGUCAUGAUAUCUCUGGUUCCAGCUUUGGGACAACAGCAGACUUGAGUUCUCUAUGAGAAACACGUACAACACCAAUCAGCCGCUCCGGUAAUUCAUCUGUAGUAUUUGCCUGCAUACAGAAGAGCAAGAUAAAGAAGACACACACAGAAGCAUUAUAUCAUUCUGAGAACAUUCAAGUAUGCAAAAAUGCAAGUUGCAGUGCAAUAUCUCAAAAUCAUGUCUUUUCCCUUGUGUCCAUUUAGCAGUGGGGGAAAAAAACAAUCAUACAUACCUGUACAAGGAAAGCCAUGUCAACCACCAAUGUCGUAAUUACACCAAUUACAAGGCCCAAAACUCCAUUAGCAACAGUAGAAGAAUCGAUGUCAACAUCAAUCUACAGAAAGAUGAACAAUGUUAAACCAUGUUAAAGGUAUUGGACGCUAUUUGAAAGGGGAACAUCUCAUGUACUAUAGAAAUUCCAAGAGCAUUUACUUCUAAGUACUUGGGACCGCGAAUAUAGUUACAAUCAACUGCCUUCCCCAAUAAACAAGGGGUGCUUCCAACACUCUGGCGCACUAUCCAUGACCCCUGCAUGAUUCAGUGCUGAAAAUCAAGAACAAGUGCAAAACAAAUUCAAGAGGGUAAAAAGGAGAUAAAGUUUGAAGGUACAACCCAUCAAUACAUUCACACCUAAAUGCAUGCCUUCUUUGUACAAAUUGAAGUGUACCAUGCAGUAAAGGGUAAGUAUACGUUAAUAUAGUCCUACUACAUGAAGGCCAAGAUGGAUACCUUAGGAACAGAUGGAAUAAGUUUCAACCUACUAUUGCGAAAUUCAUCAUCGCCAUCAACAAACCGUUGCAAAAGUGAUCCCGUAACCAAUUGCCUUGUGACAAAAUAAAAUACCAUACUAUAAUGUGUUGAACCAGGAACCUGCAGAUGCUUAGGUUACAACUAUACAACCUCCCAAUACAAUAAGUUUGAAACUUAUACCUUCUGAAAUGAAACAAACUUUCUUGAAGAUUAAAGAUCAGUGAGAAAAGCCCUUUUUCAGAAGCAACCUACAUAUUUUAGAAUAGGGCUCAGUGCGUUAUAGAUUCAAUGAACCAUGAGAAGUUAUUUACAUUGUUGUAUCUCACAGGCAGUCUUUUCUCCUAAUGUAUCAAGGGAAAAUGCUAGUGAAUUGAAUGAAGCUAGAGCAGAGCAUGAUGUUGCUGUGUAGCUGACUUUAGCAGAUCAACUCACUAAGCUAACCUGGCAAAGUUAUUUAGCUGGUUGAGCUGAUGUGUCAAAUUAGUUAUGCAGCAAAUGGUUAUGUGAUGUAACAAACUCGUGUGUGUGUUGAGCAAAUUGUAGCUUAAUAUAAAUAUCAGUCUGUAUUCAUUCAGUUGUAAUGCUAAAGUAAUAAAGGUUCUACAAACUUCUUUACAGAGCUUUCUUUUAUUUUCUUCAUUUUCUAGCUUGCCAAACAAUGCAAAACUAAGUUUCUUUCAUGGUAUUAGAGCCAUAAAUGGCGAAUACAGUUCAAAAUAACAACUCUUUUAGUUUUGUUACGCCUGUAAAGCUAGACCAAAACAACUUCAUUUUAUGGCGGGCACAAAUUUUAGCAUCGAUCAAAGGAAACGGUCUGGAAGGGUUUAUCAAUGGUGAUCAAGAAUGUCCUGAGCAGUUUCUUUCUUCUGGAAACAACAAUGGAGCUGAAAUUUUUACUGAAUCUGAAUCCAAAUCUAUUAAUCCAGAGUUCAUAGCUUGGAUGAAGACUGAUCAACUUCUGUUGAGUUAGAUGAUGUCGUCGAUACAGCAAAAUCUACUUGCUACUGUGAUUGACUCCACAACUUCAAAACAGCUUUGGAAGACUCUUACUAGUAUGUUUAUUUCUUAAUCACAAGCUAGAAUUCAAACACUUAGAAUGCAGAUUCAAACUAUUAAGAAAGGUGCAAUGCAUAUGUCUGAUUACUUUGCAAAAGUAAAACGUAUAGCUGAUACUUUAGCUCUAGCUGGAAAACCUGUUGAGUUAAGUGAUCUUGUGAUGCAUGUAUUAACUGGUCUUGAUUCAUCAGAUUAUGAAUCUUUAGUCACAGGUGUUUUAGCUCGAGGUGAGAAGAUAACAUUAGAUGAACUAUAUCCUUUGCUAUUGAAUCAUGAAAAUAGAGUUGAACAAAAGAAAGGAAAAAUUGCUGGUGAUGUGAUGCACAAUAUGACAGCAAAUAUUGCUCAAAAGAACUCAUAUGCUGGAAAGAAUAAUGGCAAUUUUCAAAAAAAUUAUGGAAAUAAUUCUAGGUAUGGAGGUUUUAAUGGAUAUGGAUAGGGUCAGUUUAAUAAUGGUGGUAAUUCCUCUGAAAUUGUUUGUCAAAUCUGCUUCAUACCUGGUCAUGCAGCCAAUAGAUGCAAAAAUAGGUACAAUUCAUCUUUUGUUCCACAGAGAAACUAUGGCAGAGGUAAUAUGAAUGGUGGCAGAGGUUUUAAUCAAGGGCAAUAUGGUAGAGGAAGAGCUUUUAAUAGUAAUGGUGGCAGAGGUUUUGGAGGUUUUGGUUUAAAUGCUGGUUUUGGCUAUGCACCCAGGGGUUUUGGCUAUCAAGGAAAUAUGGUGUAUCCAGAUAGUAAUCCUUCUGCUUAUUACUCAUUCACCCCUGGACCAUCUACUUUUGUUUCUGGUCAAGGAAAUAAUAAUCCUGGACAGUCAAGUGCUUCAUCUUCCUCAGCUAUGCCUUCUUCACUUCCACCAGAACACAUUGAAGAUCCUUCAUGGUAUAUUGAUAGUGGAGCAACAAAUCACAUUACAAAUGAUCUAGGUAAACUUCUGGAUUCACAAAUUUAUACUAGUACUGAAAAAUUAUUUGUUGGAGAUGGAAAUGCAUUAGCUAUUACACAUGUAGGAUCAGUUGUGCUAAAUACUUCAACUUCUAAACCUUUAAAAACCAUGUUCUUCAUGUCCCUUUUAUUACUAAGAAUUUGCUUAGCAUUUCAAAAUUAUUGGCUGACAAUCCAGUUACUGUUGGAAUUUCUUGGUGAUUUGUUUUUUAUAAAGGCUAGGAACACAAGGAAAAUUUUACUUGAAGGUGUUGCUAAAGGUGACUUGUAUAGAGUCUCUUCACAUGUUGCUGCUCAUUCAGUCUUUCUCAAUUCAGUUGGUCAAAAUAAAAUUCACUCUCUUUGCUUGUUCUCCUGUUUUCAAUUCUGAUCAGCUCACUGCUGUUAGUUCUUAUGAAUUGAAUAAAAAGCCAUGUCUGUCAGUUGUUACAAAGAGUUCUAUUGAUGUAAAUCUUCUUCAUAGAAGAUUAGGACACCCAGCAUCUUAUACUCUCAAAACUAUACUCAAAACUUGUAACAACUCUACUGCUUAUAAUAAAAUUGAAAGCUUGAAAUUUUGUUCAGCAUGUCAAUAUGGGAAAAAUCAUAUGCUGCAUUUUGAUUCAGUUGAAACAAAAACUUCAGCACCCUUACAAGUGAUAUAUGCAGAUCUUUGGGGUCCUUCUCAUGUCUGUUCUACCCAAGGAUAUAAUUACUACUUAUCAAUCUUAGAUGAUUAUAGUAGAUUUACCUGGAUAUUUCCAUUGUCAGCCAAAUCUGAUGCUCUUGAAGUGUUUACCAAUUUCAAAAUUUUUAUUGAAAAGCAUCUUCAACUUCAAAUCAAAACUGUCCAAACUGAUUGGGGAGAAGAGUUCAGAACAUUUUCCUCAUUACUCACUGCUUCUGGUAUCCAUUUUAGACACCCUUGCCCACAUAUUCAUCAUCAAAAUGGAAGAAUUGAGAGGAAACAUAGACACAUAGUUGAUGUAGGUCUGACCUUAUUAGCUCAAGCACAUUUACCACUCAAAUUUUGGUGGAAUGCAUUCCACACAGCUGUCUAUUUGAUAAACAGACUUCCAACUCCAAUUCUAAACAACAUUUCUCCUUUCCAAAAGUUAUUUCAUCAUCAACCAGAUUAUUCAACACUUAAAACCUUCGGUUGUGCUUGUUAUCCAACACUCAGACCAUACAAUAGACAUAAGUUUGAUUUCAGAACUGCCAGAUGUAUAUUCAUUGGCUACAAUUCACAACACAAGGGAUAUCAGUGUCUUCACUCUUCUAAGAGGGUUUACAUUUCAAAUCAUGUCACCUUUGAUGAAAAUUCUUUUCCUUAUGAGUCUGGAGCAGAUUUUUCUUCACUCUCUUCAAGUUGUCAGUCAACAAAAAAUUAUAAGUCUUCUUUCAAUUCCUCUGUUCCUUCUAUUACUCAGUUACAAGCACCUUUAGCAGCAUCAUCAGAACACCAUCAAAAUGUUCAUCAUUCAGAUGCUCCUACUCCCUCACCAAAUUCUACUCCACUUUAUUUUUCUGAUAAUUCCAACUCAGCUUCUUCUUCUUCACCACCACAUAAUUCACCUCCACAUACAUUGCCACAACCUGCAUCAACUGGUCAUCCAAUGAUAACCAGGUCAAAAGCAGGUAUUUUCAACCCAAAAAUUUAUUUGUCAGCUUUAUUAGCCCAGAAAUCAGAACCAACUUCUGUUUCCCAAGCACUUUCUGAUCCUAUGUGGUAUAAGGCUAUGCAAGAAGAGUAUCUAGCACUUAAAACUAAUCACACCUAGGAUUUAGUUUUACAUGCUACUCCAGUGAAGAUAGUUGGCAGCAAAUGGGUGUUUUGAAUAAAGUAUAACUCAGAUGGUUCAGUUUCAAGAUAUAAAGUCAGGCUUGUUGCAAAGGGGUUUCAUCAGACACAUGGGAUUGACCAUACAGAAACUUUUAGUCCAGUGGUUAAAGCUUCAACUGUUAGAGUUAUUCUUAGCUUAGCAGUAUUGAAUCAAUGGGUGAUUAGGCAAGUAGAUGUUAAUAAUGCCUUUCUAAAUGGCAUUUUAAUUGAAGAGGUGUACAUGGCUCAACCUGAAGGUUUUGUUGACUCAACUAAACCUAAUCAUAUCUGCAAGCUGAAUAAAGCUUUGUAUGGCUUAAAACAGGCACCUAGAGCCUGGUUUGAUAGAUUCAAGGAUGCAAUGAUCUCUAAACGGCAUUUCCAGCAUUCAAGGUCUGAUAACUCUCUGUUUCAUGCCUGGAACAGUGGUCAUCUAACUCUUGUUUCGGUCUAUGUUGAUGAUAUUAUCAUCACUAGUUCCAGUCCAACACUAAUUCAGCAAGUUAUUAAGAUUAUGAAUUUGCUUUAAAAGACAUGGGGGAACUUAGCUAUUUUCUGGGGAUUGAAGUCAGCAAGUCUUCACAAGGGGUUUCCUUGACACAAGCAAAGUAUAUUACUGACAUUCUGGAUAAACAUGGCAUGACAGAUUGCAGUCCUGUGCCUACUCCAAUGUCUACUGGUUAUUAUCUCACAAAAGAAUCAGGAGAGCUAAUUGAUAAUGUUUCUCAAUAUAGGAGUGUUAUAGGAGCUCUUCAAUAUGUUACUCUUACCAGACCUGACAUUGCUUUCUCUGUAAACAACCUAAGUCAAUUCCUUUCAAGUCCUAGAACACAACAUUGGGAAACAUGCAAAAGGUUAUUGAGGUACUUAAAAGGCACUAUACAUCUUGGGCUGCAAUUUAAUAACAAAGGAGCUUUGCAACUACAUUGUUUUUCAAAUUCUGACUGGGCUUGUGAUCGUGAUGAUAAGAAGUCAGUGGCUGGCUUUGCUGUUUACCUAGGCCCUAAUCUAGUCUCAUGGUCAUCAAAGAAACAAGCUGUUGUUUCCAGGUCCAGCACAGAGGCUGAGUAUAGAUCUCUUGCUCAUGCUGAUUCAGAGGUUCCCUGGUUACAAUCUUUACUUGGUGAACUUAACAUCAAAUUGAGCUCUACUCCUAUGAUGUGGUGUGAUAAUCAAGAAGCAAUUGCUUUAGCUUACAAUCCAGUCUAUCAUGCUAAAACUAAGCAUGUCGAAUUGGAUAUACAUUUUAUCCGAGAUAAAGUUACUGCUAAAGAGAUUGAAGUAUGUUUUGUGCCCAGUCAAGAUCAAACAGCAGAUGUGUUGACUAAGGCUUACUUUCAAACAGUUUAGUUACUUAAGAAGCAAGCUGAAUGUUCAUCCUAAACAUUUCAGCUUGAGGGGGGAUGUUAGUGAAUUGAAUGAAGUUGGAGCAGAGCAUGAUGUUGCUGUGUAGCUGACUGUAGCAGAUCAACUCACUAGGCUGACCUGGCAAAGUUAGUUAGCUGGUUGAGCUGAUGUGUCAAAUUAGUUAUGCAGCAAAUGGUUAUGUGAUGUAACAAACUUGUGUGUGUGUUGAGCAAAUUGUAGCUUAAUAGAAAUAUCAGUCUGUAUUCAUUCAGUUGUAAUGCUAGAGUAAUAAAGGUUCUACAAACUUCUUUACAGCGCUUUCUUUUAUUUUCUUUCAUUUUCUAGCUUGCCAAACAAUACAAAACUAAGUUUCUUUCAGAAAAGGAAAAAUAAAAAGAAAAGAAUAGUUACUGUUGAAAAUAAAGAUUCAAAGUUAUGAUUUCUUUGUAAUCUAGGCUAUUUUAGGAAUAAGUUAAAUUAUAAUGGGAAGAUUCAUUAGGAUUUUUUCCAGAUUUUGUUUCCUAUUAUUUAGGAAAGGAUAGAUGUAGUCUCCUAUUUUCUCUCCUAUUUUGCUGUAUAUAUUCCCUGUACAUACUGUUCUGGAAAGUAAGAAAAAGAGGAACCAAUUCACAUUUUUCUUCAUGGUAUCAGAGCCUGGCUCUAAACCCUAGUUCUCCUAUCAGCCGCCAUUUCCUUCUUCUCUCAUAAAUUGAACAAUCUACCUUCCUUCCUCUCCCAUCAAUUGUAUUCUCUGUGGCAAAAUACGGGAUGGCUUCCUCAUCAACCUCUGUUACAGUAUCACAGUCUAAAGGAAACGUGGAGACUGCAACUCAUGGUGGAAUUGAUUCUUCACCGAUCUUAAUUACCAGUCAUAAAUUGAACGGCCACAAUUAUCUCCAGUGGUCACAAUCUGUCAUGAUGUUCAUCUGUGGCAAGGGUAAGGAUGAUUAUCUCACGGGUGAGGCGGCCAUGCCAAAGGUAUCAGACCCUAGUUUCAAAAGGUGGAAGUCAGAGAACAACAUGAUCAUGUCAUGGCUUAUCAAUUCCAUGAACAAUGAUAUUGGUGAGAAUUUUCUUCUGUUUGGGACUGCAAAGGACAUAUGGGAUGCUGCAAAGGAAACCUAUUCUAGCUCUGAGAACACAUCAGAGUUAUUCCAGAUUGAAACCAUCCUCCAUGACUUCCGCCAAGGAGAACAAUCUGUCACUCAGUACUUUAAUACUCUGACUAGGCAUUGGCAACACCUUGAUCUAUUUGAAACAUACCCUUGGAAGUGCACCGACGAUACAACCUUGUACAAGAAGAUUGUGGAACAGAAGAGAACGUUUAAAUUUCUCCUCGGACUCAAUAAAGAUCUUGAUCAGGUUAGGAGCCGUGUACUCGGGACAAAGCCUCUACCACGCCCUCGUGAAGCCUUUUCUGAAGUUAGGCAUGAAGAAAGUAGGAAAAAGGUGAUGAUGGGGUCAUCAGAACCAACACUGGACGCCUCUGCACUUGCUGCCCGUGCAUCCAACUCUGUAGGGGUUAGUGAAAAUCGUACAAAGAAAGAAAGACCAUGGUGCGAUCACUGUCGUAAGGCAGGCCACUAUAAGGAGAGUUGCUGGAAAAUUUAUGGCAAGCCUGCUGAUUGGAAACCUCGUUCCAAAGGUGACCGUGAAUCUCGUGCUCAUGCAGCAUCCACCACGGACAAUCAGGCCCUACCCGAGCCAAAUCCAUUCAGCAAGGAGCAAAUGGAGAUUCUUCAAAAGCUUUUCGAUCAAGCCACUUUGAACUCCAAUGCAGGGACAAGUCUAGUGGCUCAGAAAGAGACUCAUUCAGCAUUUGCAGCCACUAAUGGAGCAAGCAAACCUUGGAUAAUUGACACUGGUGCUUCUGAUCACAUGACUGGAGAUGCCUCAAUGUUGCAGGAUUAUAAAGCUAGCAUCAACAGCACUUCAGUCUGGAUCGCAGAUGGCUCUCACACAAAAAUAGCAGGGACAGGUUCCAUCAGACUCACUAAGGAGUUACACCUUAAUUCUGUACUUUAUGUGCCUAAUUUGGCUUGCAAUUUACUUUCAAUCAGUAAAUUCACUCGUGAUCAGAAUUGUGUAACUAAAUUCUAUCCAAAUAUGUGCGUUUUUCAGGACUUGGAUUCGCGAAGACGAUUGGCAGUGCUGAGCUAUGUUCUGGACUCUAUCUACUCAAAAGCGAUCAAUCCUCCUUCAUACAAGAUUCGAGAGCAAACUGUGCCAAGUCCAAUAGUCUGUCAACUAGUUAUCCUCAUUCUAUUGUUAGUCCAAAUGUCAAUAACGAUAGUGAAAUUGUUCUGUUACACUAUCGAUUAGGUCAUUCUAGUUUCAUGUAUCUCGCAAAAAUUUUUCCCAAUCUAUUCAUCAAUAAAAACCCUUUAUCAUUUCAUUGUGAAAUUUGUCAAUUUGCAAAACAUACUCGAAAUGUUUAUUCAAGUGUUAAGUAUAAGCCUUCUCGUCCAUUUGCUUUAAUUCACAGUGAUGUGUGGGGUCCCUCAAGAAUUAAAAAUGUUUCUGGGGCUCGCUGGUUUUUGUCAUUUGUGGAUGAUCAUACUCGUCUCACUUGGGUGUUUCUCAUGAAAAACAAAUCCGAAGUUAGUCAAAUCUUCCAAAACUUUAACGCCAUGAUUCAAACCCAAUUCAAUACCAAAAUCCAAGUCCUUAAAACCGACAAUGCCAAGGAAUAUUUCAAAGACUCCCUCAGCUCAUAUCUUCUCCAUCAAGGCAUUCUUCACAUCAGUUCUUGUGUUGACACCCCGCAACAAAAUGGGGUCGCUGAACGCAAAAACAGACACCUUCUUGAAGUGGCUCGCUGUCUUUUGUUCUCAUCUCAUGUUCCUAAUUUUUUCUGGGGUGAAGCUGUUCUCACUGCAGCCUACUUAAUCAACCGAAUGCCUUCUAGAGUCUUGGGGUUUCAUUGCCCAAGAAAAGUUCUUCUCAAUUUCUUUCCACACACUAGGAUUGUUUCAGCAGAUUUACCACAAAAAAUAUUCGGUUGCACAGCAUAUGUCCAUGUUCACUCUCAACACAGGACUAAACUUGAUCCCCGAUCUCUCAAGUGUAUAUUUUUAGGCUAUUCUCCACAUAAAAAAGGAUACAAAUGCUAUUCUCCUCAUACCAGAAAAAUAUACAUUUCCAGAGAUGUAACAUUUGUUGAAAACCUGCCUUUAUAUUCCAAAACUGUUGUUCAGGGAGAGAGUAUGAGCGAACAUCAGCCUUGGGAAUCUUCUUGGCAAUCUUGGCUGGAAACCCCUCAUGAAAACCCUCAUAACUCAACCACCACACAUGAUCAAUCUAUCCAACAGCCACAAUCAGCAAUCCUCCCAACAUCUUCACAACCUUUUGAGUCAUCUGAGUCCUCCCAACCACAAUCAGCCGAGUCACCCCGUCAUCCAUCAGCCCAUCAACUACAGCCUCUAAUCUCACCUCUUCCACAGCUUGCUGUUGAUAAUCUUAAUGUUUAUAGGAGGAGAAGAACUGGAGAGCAGAUAGAGCACAGAACUCAGCCACAUGUCCAAGAAACUGAACCAAAUCCAAGCUCUUAUGAAGACAACACAGGUAUGGAUAGUCUUGCCUCGGUUGAGUUCAUGGUUCCAAGUGUGGAUGAUUCUAAUAAAUCAAUUGCAGAAAGAAAGGGGGUUCAAAGUUGUACCACUCAUCCAAUUGCCAAAUAUGUCUCAUAUGAUGGUUUGUCCCCAUCAUACCGAGCCUUUGUUUCUUCUUUAGAUAAUCUACAUGUUCCCAACAAUAUACAAGAGGCUCUCGGUCAUCCUGAGUGGAAGAGAGCUGUUCAUGAAGAAAUAAAUGCUCUUGAGAAAAAUGAUACAUGGGUUAUAACAGAUCUUCCUGCAGGGAAACGACCAGUUGGAUGUAAGUGGAUUUUUACUGUUAAAUACAAGGCAGAUGGAAGUGUUGAGAGCCUCAAAGCUCGUCUUGUAGCUAAAGGGUUCACACAGUCAUAUGGGAUUGAUUAUCUUGAAACCUUUGCUCCGGUUGCGAAGCUCAACACCAUUAGAAUCUUGCUCUCCUUAGCAGUAAAUCUAGAUUGGUACUUAUACCAACUAGAUAUAAAAAAUGCGUUUCUCAAUGGCGAUCUUGAAGAAGAAGUGUUUAUGGAAGUUCCCCAGGGUCUUGAUCUGAAUCUUACUAGAAAUAAAGUGUGCAAGCUCAAGAAAUCUUUGUAUGGGCUUAAACAAUCCCCUCGAGCAUGGUUUGAUAGAUUUGCGAAGGCAGUUGUGAGACUUGGUUACACUCAGUGUCAGGCAGAUCACACUUUAUUCCUCCGAACAUCACAAGCAAAGAAGAUCUCUCUCCUAAUCGUAUAUGUUGAUGACAUCAUUCUCUCAGGAAAUGAUGAGGAAGAACUGCAGAAGUUGAAGAAACAGCUAGCUCAGGAAUUCGAAGUUAAAGAUCUAGGGAAUCUGAAAUAUUUUCUUGGGAUGGAGGUGGCAAGAUCUAGGAAGGGAAUUGUUGUCUCCCAAAGGAAAUACACCCUGGACUUACUAAAGGAGACUGGUAUGAUUGGGUGCAAACCAGUAGAUACUCCUAUGGAUCCCUACAAGAAACUAGGCUCAGUUGAGAAUAGUGUUCCAGUCAAUAGAGGGAGAUAUCAAAGACUGGUUGGUCGUUUAAUUUAUCUCUCACAUACCCGUCCGGACAUAGGCUUUGUUGUUAGUGUUGUGAGCCAAUUCAUGCACAAUCCUACAGAGGAACACAUGGAUGCAGUCUUUAGAAUUUUGAAGUAUCUAAAGAUGACACCUGGAAAAGGAUUGUUUUUCAAGAAAUCAGAAUAUAGGAAUAUUGAGAUCUACUCUGAUGCAGACUGGGCUGGAGACAUCACAAAUAGAAGAUCAACAUCUGCUUACUGUUCCUAUGUCUGGGGAAAUCUAGUAACCUGGAGGAGUAAGAAACAAUCAGUUGUAGCUAGGAGUAGUGCAGAAGCAGAGUUCAGAGCUUUGGCAAAUGGAAUCUGUGAAGGAAUUUGGAUAAAGCGUGUACUCAAGGAACUCGGUGUGUGCAGCCCUUCAUCCAUUCUAAUGAGGUGUGACAAUCAAGCAGCAAUCAGCAUCGCAAAAAACCCAGUGCAUCAUGAUCGAACCAAACAUGUCGAGAUUGAUAGGCACUUCAUCUCAGAGAAGGUCACUAGUGGAAGUGUGGAACUAAAGUACAUUCCAACUAGACAACAAAUUGCAGACAUCCUUACUAAAGCACUGCCAAGACCUAACUUUGAAGACUUAAGUAACAAGCUGGGUUUGUAUGAUAUACACACACCAGCUUGAGGGGGAGUGUUGAAAAUAAAGAUUCAAAGUUAUGAUUUAUUUGUAAUCUAGGCUAUUUUAGGAAUAAGUUAAAUUAUAAUGGGAAGAUUCAUUAGGAUUCUUUCUAGAUUUUGUUUCCUAUUAUUUAGGAAAGGAUAGAUGUAGUCUCCUAUUUUCUCUCCUAUUUUGCUGUAUAUAUUCCCUGUACAUACUGUUCUGGAAAGUAAGAAAAAGAGGAACCAAUUCACAUUUUUCUUCAGUUACUUGUGCAGUACAGCCUUGACGCCUAGCUACAUGGUCCAUUCUCUUUGUGUCUUUGAACCAAUCAACAGCAACAAGAUCCAUUAAAUGUUUUCCCGCAGGUGUCUGCAGUUACAAAUUGCACAAAGCACAAGAGCCAACCAAACUACAUCAUAACAUGUCGACCUAGCAUAUGCAGGAUAUAUAAAUACCAUAACAAACAACCAAAAUAUGGGGGAACCUUUGUUUUGUCAUAACAAAAAUGCUUGCUACGAACUCUAAAGUUAUUUCCACCAGAAAGUUUCCAGCAGUCACGAGCAUUAUCACAGUCAUCGUGUCGCAGAUUGCCGGAAAAAUAAGACAAAUCAAUUUGAUCAGCCUGCUCUUCCUCUAGGGUAACAACUAAUUGAAAAUUAUAAACCAAAAAAAAAAAAUCAAUACCAUAAAAAUCCACUAAUGAGGACAUUAGCCAAAUAUACAAAAAUGAAUACUUAUCAUCCACCUGUCCUCUUGAAAUCAUUCUCAAUCUUUUUUUCAUUUGCCUGAAAUCCCAAGGAAAAAUAUGGAACUAAUACUUCCCAUUCAUGACUAUUGUCUGUCAUAUAAACAUGACAUUUAAUUGAAAUAGUAAAAUUAUUUAAUUAUUUUAAUUAAAUGUUAAUCCUAUAAAUUAUUUUUGUUAAAUCUAGCAAGAAUAACUAACAUUUCUUUAAGAUAUAUUUUGGCGGUAAAUUAAAAAAAAUUAAUUAUUUGGCGGGAAUUAUUGAAAUUGGAGCCAUUUUUUUGUGGGAAUUGAAAUAUAUUCUUUAAAUUAUUAUAUAAAAAGAAAAAUGUACAUACACACACAUAUAUAUAAUUUAUAUAUAAAAAUUCUCUAAUUUGUUCACAAGUAUCAUAGAUUAUAAUUCAGUUAUGAAAUAAAAUAACUACAAGGAAAAAUAUGUAACUAAUACUUCCCAUUCAUGACUAUUGUCUGUCAUAUAAACAUGACAUUUAAUUGAAAUAGUAAAAUUAUUUAAUUAUUUUAAUUAAAUGUUAAUCCUAUAAAUUAUUUUUGUUAAAUCUAGCAAGAAUAACUAACAUUUCUUUAAGAUAUAUUUUGGCGGUAAAUUAAAAAAAAUUAAUUAUUUGGCAGGAAUUAUUGAAAUUGGAGCCAUUUUUUUGUGGGAAUUGAAAUAUAUUCUUUAAAUUAUUAUAUAAAAAGCAAAAUGUACAUACACACACAUAUAUAUAAUUUAUAUAUAAAAAUUCUCUAAUUUGUUCACAAGUAUCAUAGAUUAUAAUUCAGUUAUGAAAUAAAAUAACUACAAUAAUUAUAGUUAAAUGAAUACUUCAUUAAUUCUUAAUUUGCUUCCUAACAUUAAAUGAACAACUUGAGCCAACCACCUGAAUCAACCAGUAACAACGCCUGAGUCAACCAUCUGAAAAAACCAGCAACCCUAGCUGAUUCAAGCACCUGCAAUUAACAUCAACACAUCAGGAACAAUCGUAAAUCAGCACCAAGAACAGACCAAACUGCCAUCAAAUGCCACAAAACCAAACAGUCUGCUACUGCCAUCAAAUGCAAGCAAACAUAUGCAACAAAACCAGAUGCAAGUGAAAAUCUGGAGAAUAUCGGAUAAACCAAACCAAAUGCCACACUUCUAGUAAUUAGACUAGAUGCAGUGUUCAAUUAAACUAAAUGUAGUCUCAUAUUACAUUCAAAGGUGAAAACACUGUAAAAAAAAAUACAGCCAAAACAAUUGUUUACUUUUAAGUUCUAACAAAGCGUAACAGUCCAAAACCAAAACAUCUUAACUACCAAGCAAACAUCUAACAUAAUUAUUAAAAUUAAAAAGGAAAAAACAUAGGAAUCUCAGUUCUUAUACAUUUUGUAUGCAUUUAGUAAGCACACGCACAUAGACCAUCUAUGCAUAACCUUCUUCUAGCCCACCUGCAGAUGUCACAGAGAAGAGACAUUUUUUGCAGCUUGAAGUGCUCCAAUUGCUUUGUGAAGGUCCAAUUGUAAGCCUAAAUAUUGAAUCCAUGAGUCCAUAUAAUUGAAGGCUGGUGGCGACUUUUGAGUACAAAUCAAGAGAGAGUGAAGUGUGAAUUUCUGCAUGGCCCAUAACUUCAUCCACGUAGCUAUUCACUUCUUUGCAGUGAAAAGUUCCUUAAUCCUGGCACUAAUGUUGGGCAUCAUUUUGAUUUUUCAAGCCCUUUUAGAACACUUAUUGAUUUAGGAAAUUAAGGGAGCCAUUGAAAGGUGACUAAAACGGAGUGAGUUAGGGGUCCUACCUCUCUGUAGGGCUCUCGAAUCGCGGGAAAUGAGCUCCAUUGUGACCUUCAUUUCCUCCUUUUCGGAAAAAUUAGUUCAUGGCGCUUACGAUGUGAGCAAUUACUCUUUCUGGUGUCCUGAUGGUUGAUAACAGAGACUUUCAGCCUCGCUGCCUCAGGUAAGCUUGAUGGGAGGACCAGAUGUCAUACAAAAAAUAAAAGCUUUCUUUUCUCGGUAAAAGCAUGCGCAUUUUUCUGUAAGUGGGGAAGAGGCCGCGCCGUCAACACUGCAUCGGUGAAGAUGGGUGGUGGUUGUUGGUGGAGAAACGGAGGGAGGUGGCGAUUCUGAGACUUGUUGCGAUUUAGGGUUGGCCGGUUGGGUUUGGGGGAAAUUGGGUAAAGCAAAAUGCAUUUUUGUUGUUAUAUAUAUAUAUAUAUAGAUAUAUAUAUAGUAGUUGGAUUAGCUAAAAGACAAAAAAAUUUAAAUUUUACUACACUACAUGAUAAAAUACAGUGCAUUGGAGUAUGUGUUUAUUUUGUCUUUUAACUAAUCCCUGAUUGGAAAACUACUAUAUAUAUAUAUAUAUAUAUUUUUUUUUUACUUAAUAAAAAAGUGGGCACGGGUCCGGGUUCCGGAUUCUUGGUGCUGUGACCGGACCCGUGCCCGGAUCCGCUUUUUCCAUGCAUCCGAUCCGGGUUUUACCCGGACCGUAUGCACCAGGUCCAGUCCGGAUCCGGUCUGAGCGGGCUUUUCUGCCAUCUCUACAGUGGAGAGAGGGAUUAAUUCAACGCUUAGCCAAAAUUUGGCUGCGAGUGUUAAUGGGUUUUAAGUUAUACAAAACGGUGUCGUUAAUUUAAACGGCAUUGUUUUACAAUCUUAUAAGUUCACAAAACUUAAGCAUGACUUAUAUGUAUAAUUUAUUUACGAUGGUUAAGUUAUAAGUCAUGAAUAUGUCAUAUACUCUGGACAUGAAUAUAUAUCACGAAUCUAUCAUAUUUUCAUGACACAUUCGUGACAUAACGAUAUAUGUUAUAAAAUUUCUGUCAUUAUUUAGUAUUUUUCUAGUAAUGUCAGGUCUUUAAAACCUUUCUAUUAAUAACAAAAACUCUAAUCCUUUAGCAAAAGACUAAAAAUUUUAAAAAAAUCUGUUUAAAUAUCAGUUGGCUCAUAAUCAACACUUCAAUAUUGUUUGUUGUAUUUUCUUUCUUUCUUUUUUUGUCAUUUUAUUAGAUUUGCUUUGUAUCAUGGUUUGUUUUGCUUAAGUAAUUGUUCAUUAUUUACGUCUGUGUUCUUACUAGCUUUUGAUAAUUUAUGGUUGGUUUUUUAUUCAGACCCUCGAAGUACCUUUUUGUUAAUAGCAAAACCUCUGAUCCUCAAGAAAGAAAAAGAAAUUCUCUAUUUAAUUAUUAGUUAGUUCAAGAUCAAUAUCGCAAUAUUGUUUGCAGUCUUUUCAUUCUCUGUCUUUCCCACUAGUUCAUUUUAAUUUAUCUGUAUUCCUUUCUUUGACACUUGUAUUUAUUUAUAUAGAUUGUUAAGCAACAGGCAAUGGCUGCAGAAGGGUGUCUCCCUACUUUUUCUAGCAUUGUAUCACAAGGUUCAAAAGCAUUAUUCAAACCGAUUAUGUGGCACAUAUCUUAUGUGUUCCGAGUACCAGAGCUACAUAGAUGGGCUAAAAGAUUGAGUGAAGGAGCUGGAAUAUAUAAGAGAAAGGGUGCAAAUGCUGGUUAGAGAGGCUACUCUACAAGGAGAUGAGAUUUAUAAGGGUGUCAGAGACUGGCUAAAUAGAGUUGCUGAAUUCAGUGAAGGGGUUGCAAAAUCAAUCAUUGAUGAUAAAGAUAGAGCUAAGAUGUUCUGCUUCAAAAGGUUGUGCCCAAAUUUGAUUUCUUGUUACAAGCUUGGUAAACAAGCAGCAGAGGCCGCAAACGAAGCUGAUAAACUUGUGAAGAAAGGCGAAUUUAACAUUUGUAAUCAUGUUUCCUACCGUCCUGCUCCAGAGAGUACAGAAUAUGUGCAAGUGAAAGAUUACGUAGCCUUUUAUUAUAAUAUCUUUUCACUCUAUUAACUUAAAAAAGAUUGACUUCAAUAUUAAAAAUGUAACAGUAUAUACAUUUUAUAAUAAUUUCAAUAUUUAAAAAAUAUUUGAAUACUUUACAAUCUUAUAUUAUAUUAAACUACAUUUUAUAAUAAAUAGAAACAUAAUAUUAAAAUAAAUAUAUAAAAUUUUAAGUUAGGCUUAAUAUUAUUUAAAAUAAUUUAAAUAUCAUUAAUACAUGAGAUAUAUUAUAUUAAUUAUAAAUUCUAUUUAAUCUAAAUAUAUAUUUAAAGUUUUAUACUAAAAAUAGAUAUAUUAUUAAAAUAAAUAUAACAACUAACAUUUUAAAGAUUAAUACUGAAAUUAAAAUUAUAAAUUAUAUUAAUCUACUAAAAAGAUUCAUCUAUUUGACACUAGCAGCGGACAAUGAGGUCACGGCAUAGGACAAGCAGUUAUCGUGACCCAUGGACUUUUCUACUUCUUUUGAAAAAAAAAAAAAUAUCAAAGUCAUUGAAGUGCGUUUGAUGAUAUGCUGUGUAGCUUCUCUCUCAAAUGCUUUUCGAGUGCCUCCAGUAUCUGCUUUUAUAUAAGCUUUUGUCUUUAAUCAUUCAUUCAAGCUUUCGCUAAGAGUGAUGCAGCACAGCACGUAAAUAUAGAAGCAUUGACAGCCGUAGUCAGGAGCUCUUCGGUAUUUGAAGCAAGAAUGGUUGUUUGGCUUUGUGCAUUGAAAGAGAAAAGAAAAAAGAAAGACUAAUUUCAAUAAUACAAUUUAAUUAAUUAAUUUAAAAUAAUAAGCAAAUAAUAAUGAUGAAAUUAAUUAAUAAAAAGAAGAAAAUGAAAAUUGCACGUGCUACUAGCAUAAACCAAUUGCCGGAAUGAGGUCACUUUGUAGACAAAUGAUUCUGGAAUCAGAACUUGGGCCAGCUUUGGGUUAUGGAUCCAAAAUAAAAAUAAGGUGGGCCACAUGGUCUCUUAUGAUCAAUAAAAAUCGAUUGAAAAGGAUGGUAUAGUGAGUGGAAGAGAAAUGCCGAUGGCAGAUCAAGGGAUGAAGAUACGAGCUCACUUGCAACGUGGUAUAGUUCAUCAUGGCUGGCUUUCCUAUAAGUUCAGGUCCUUUGAAUACUUUCAAUGACCUUAUUAGUCAGGAAUUUAACAAUAAUUUUUAUUUUUUACAUCCAGGAACGGUUUUAAGCAUAGGCAAAUUAGGCCUAUAAUAGCAAAUCCUCUUUUUUAACAAUUAAACAAUUAGGAAGUCUCCCUUUUUUAUUUUUGGUAUUACUUAUAAUAGCAAAUCUUCUUUUUUAGGCCUCUUUUUAGUUAGUAAUUAUCUUAUAAUUAAGAAUUUUUAUACACAUUCUAUCUUUGAUAACCUUAAUAUUAAAGAUCUCUAAUUAAUAGUAUUAUCUAAUUGUUAAUUUAUUAUUAGUUUUUCCAAGAAAAAAAUUAAAAUCUUUAUCUAUUUAAUACUUCAGUUUUUUUUUCGUCAGUGGCAGAUAAAAGAGUCGGUUUUUCCGUUACUAAGCUUUUUAUGGAUGAAUUUUUUUUUAUAAUUUCUUUGUUUUAUAGGUUCUCUGUGAAUGCCAUUAGAAAUGAGAUUGACUAAUUCAAACUUCCUUUUUCCCCUUAGCAUCCAAACGUGUGAGGCAAGGGCAACUAAUGAGUCCAUUGUGAUGAGAACCUUUGUCUAAGCAAAAGCAGAGGUCAAUUGCUAAUACCGUACUGUUAUUAGUUUCAGUGCUUAAAUUGCUCCAUAAGUUUGCAUUUUAAAGUCUCUGUCUUAAUUUCUGAGGUAUACUGCUAAUGAGACCUCCUGCCAAGUUCAAGUUUGUUGUGAUGGCUACUUUGUCAUAUAACUGACUGUGAGAGGCCAUCAAUCAGCUCUGUUUUGUAAUUUUGUACCUUUUUUUUUCAUAUAAUGAUCAAUCAAAUGUUAGCCCUUAGAUUGCAACCAAUAUUUACUGAUUGUCUUAUAUAGGAUAUAAACUAAAUUCAUAAGACAUUCCCUUAUUGAUAUUCAUUCCGACACGUCCUAGUCUUUUGCCUUGUAGAAAUGCUUGUGGUUGAAGAGCUUUACAGAGAAGCUGUCGUCAGUACUGCGCGGAAAUUGAUUAUAUUGAAUCAGAAAACUUGACCAGAUAAGGUCUGUGUGCAUGAGAAUACUUGAGGAAAGCUUCACAAUACUGAGGGCCGGAUCUGCACUCUUUCCUCUAUAUGUGUCUUCAAUAUCAAUGGCUCAAAUACAUGUGUUAUGGUCUUUUAAUAUAUAUAAAAUACCAUUAUCUCAUGCGUUAUGGUCUUAUCCUUGUAUUCUUAAAAACUACAUAAAAUACCGUUAUCUCUGCUUUUGUAGCUAUUGAAUUCGACUUUCACAACAUAAAUAUUUAUUAGCAACAACUUAAAAUCCAAACAAAUCUAACAUGCAAUGUAUCAAUUACAUAUUAUGAUUAAACAGAUUUUGAUUAUUUAUUAUUAAAAUAUAUUCUCAUUAAUAUCUUAAGGAUAGGUAAUACUCACAUAAUUUUUUUAAAAAUCAAACCCAAAUUAUAUGCAUUGUUAAUGUGUAUUAUUGUCUAAUAUUUGGAUUUUACUAAUUUACAACUGCUAUAAUGUACGGCCUCUUCAAACAUAAUGUGGGUCCCACCACGUGUUAAAUUUUUUACAUUAUUUUUGAAGGAAUUGUAAGUUACAGCAGCUGUAAAUUAGCAGCACCUCCAAUAUUUUACUUUACUUCCCCUAAUAUUUUACUUGUACUUUUAUAUCUUUACAAAACAAUACCAACAAGACAAUAAUGUAUGAAAUAAAUAAAAUAAAUAAAUAAAGAACUGACAACGAAAUUAGGCCUAUCAUUAAUUUCUCUUGGUGUGAACUCUUGACAAUUCUCCCAUAUCCCACCUAAAGCUCUCGCAUGGUGUGAACGCUUGACGAUUCUCCCAUAUCCCUCCAAAAAUUUGUCAUAUUGCGAAAAACAAUGUCAAUUCAAUAUCGUCUCCAUUAGUCAUAGUGGCAGAUAGGACUAGAAUUUGUUGAAACCCUUGGACUUAUUUUUCCUUUUGAAAAUAAUUUUGUAGAAUCUCAUAUCGUGAAUAACGGACAAUGAGACUCUUUUUUUUAACUAUAAUAUUUUUUUAAAAUUAUUAACUAAAAAAAUUAAUUUUAAUAUUUUAUAAUAAAUAUAAGUAGGAUAUUAAAAUAAAUAUAAUAAUAUAUACAUAUUAAAAUAAUUUCAAUACCAAAAAAUAUUUUAAUAGUUUACAAUCUCGUAUUCUAUUAAACCAAAUUAUAAUAAAUAGAGACAUAAUAUUAAAAUAAAUAUAUAAAAUUUUAAAUUAUUUUCAAUAUCAUAUAAAAUAACUUUAAUAUUAUUAAAACGUGAGAAAUAUUAUAUUAAUUAUAAAAACUAUUUAACCCAAGGAUUUGUUUAAAAUUUUUAUAAUAAAUAUAUUAAAUUACAUUUUAAAAAUUAAGUAUUUAAAUUAUACAUACUAGUCUACUAGAAAAUUUAAACUAUUUAAAUCAUAUUUACAUUUAGUAAAAAAUUUUGAAGUCAUUUUUUUUUUUGUGAAUACCAUAAGAGUGCUAUAGUCAAAAAGGGUAUUGGUGUUCUUUAUUAAAAGUUUGGGGUCUACAUGACUAUUUUCUAAAAUUUUAAGGGUGUCAUUUUAUUUUUGAAAAAAAUAAAAAUUUCAUUUAAACAGCUAAAAUGGUGAAUAGUACAAUGCUACAGUGGGCGUAAAUGGAAGGUAAAAAGCAAUCAGAUUUUGAUUAAACAUGCAAUGUAUGAAAUAUAUAUUAUAAUUAUACAGAUUUUGAUUAUUUAAUAUUAAAUUAUAUUCACAUUAAUAUCUUAAGGAUAGUUAAUACUCAAAUAAUUUUUCAAAAAAUCAAACCCAAAUUAUAUGCAUUGUUAAUGUGCGUUAUUGUCUAAUAUUUGGAUUUUGCUAUGUCACAACUACUGUAACUUAAAGCCUCUUCAAACAUAUGUCGAUCCCACCACGUGUUAAAUUUUUUACAUUAUUUUUUAAGGGAUUGUAAGUUACAACAGCUUAACUUAGCAGCACCCUAAUAGUUUAUUUUACUUUUAUAUCUUUACAAAACAAUGCCAACAAGACAACAAUGUAUGAAAUAAAUAAAAUAAAUAAACAAAGAUCUGACAGCAAAAUUAUGGCUAUCAUUGGUUUCUUGUGGUGUGAACUCUUGACAAUCCUCCCCAAUCCCAUCCAAAACUCCCGCGUAGUGUGAACAUUUGACGAUUCUCCCAUAUCCCUCCAAAAAUUUGUCAUAUUGCGAAAAGUAAUGUCAAUUGCAAUGUCGUUUUCAUUAGUCAUAGUGGCAAAUAGGACUAGAAUUUAUUGAAACCCCUCGACUUAUUUUUCCUUUUGAAAAUAAUUUUGUAGAACCUCAUAUCGUGAAUAAAAGACAAUAAGACUCUUUUUUUUAAUUAUAAUAUUUUUUAAAUUUAUUAACUAAAAAAAUUAAUUUUAAUAUUUUAUAAUAAAUAUAAGUAGGAUAUUAAAAUAAAUAUAAUAAUAUGUACAUAUUAAAAUAAUUUCAAUACCUAAAAAUAUUUUAAUAUUUUACAAUCUCGUAUUCUAUUAAACCAAAUUAUAAUAAAUAGAGACAUAAUAUUCAAAUAAAUAUAUAAAAUUUUUAAUUAUUUUCAAUAUCAUAUAAAAUAAUUUUAAUAUUAUUAAAACAUGAGAAAUAUUAUAUUAAUUAUAAAAUCCAUUUAACCCAAGGAUUUGUUUAAAAUUUUUAUAAUAAAUAUAUUAUUAAAAUAAAUAUAUUAAAUUACAUUUUAAAAAUUAAUUAUUUAAAUUAUACAUACUAGUCUACUAGAAAAUUUAAACUAUUUAAAUCAUAUAUACAUUUAGUAAAAAAUUUUGAAGUCAUUUUUUUUUUGUGGCUACCAUAAGAGUACUAUAGUCAAAAAGGGUAUUGGUGUUCUUUAUUAAAAUUUUGGGGUCUACAUGAUUAUUUUCUAAAAUUUUAAGGGUGUCAUUUUAUUUUUGGAAAAAAAAAUUCAUUUAAACAGCUAAAAUGGUAAAUAGUACAAUGCUACAAUGGCGUAAAUGGAAUGUAAAAAGCAAUCAAAAUGACCAACAGUCUAACGCCUCAUCAGGGACAUAAAGUCAAAGUUUGUUGCAUGUGGUCAGGGCCAUUUAGUCUGUGAGUGGGUCCUGCAUGUCAUUUUUGGGCAUUUCAUCUUCUUUAGCAUUGAAGAUUAAAUGUUGACGACAUUUUCAAAAUUUUGGAAGACCCAUUAUACUUUUGGAUGGCUGUCAUUACUUGAUAUUAUCAUUAUAUGAUGAAAUAAAAUUGGAUGUAACACUUGUUUCGCGUUGUGGGAACUUUUGACAAUUCCCCAUAUCUCCUAAAAAUCUUUCGCCAUUUUGGGAAGAUGCCAUUUAUUUUCAUUUUCAUCAUUGAUAUUGGCAGAUAAUGGGGUCCGAGGACAGACCAUAAAUUAUUGCGACCCAUGGACUUUUCUAAUUUUUUUUUUUCCUUUGGAUAGUUUUCGUUAUUUGAUAGAAGGAGAUAGAGAUAAAGUUUUUUAAUCAAAUGCCCAUUUUAUUUAACAUGGAAGAAGAUCUUUAAACUCUAAGCGAGGCUAUCACUUCAACAGAUGCAGCUUCAAAAAAGAGGUAACAAGUGAUGAGAUAGACUCAUUAUUGUCUAAUCAAACAAGGACAUCGGUAGAUGUAUCAGGAUCUUAAGUUAGAUUGGAAUUUGAUACAUUGUUGUUCGUAACGUUGGUUCAAACCUUUAAAGCAAGGUUGGAUGCAAAAUGGUUUACACCAAAGACGUGAUUUAGGAAGUUAAUUAACGUUAUUUUAGAUAAUUUAUAAUUCUAAAAUAUUUAUUAUUUUAUGGUUUUCUAUUUUUGUUUGAGUCAAUUAUGGUAUGUAUCUUAAUCUUUUAUUUCCAUUAUAAUUAUAAUUUAAAUUUUCUUUUUAGGUUAACUUAGGAAAGUGGAUUUCUUUUAUUAUAAAUAAAGAUGUCUGUAAUAAAAAAAAUAAAGAUGUCUUGUCAUUGUUUUCAGGACUUCAAAUUCAAUUAUUAAAUAAAACUCUUUUUUUUAUAAUUUCCUCUAGUAUUAUUUAUCAAAAUCUCUCUUAUAGAGUUAUUUAAAUUAGAGUGUCAUCUAAUCUCGUAUUACGCGUUAUUAAAAAUCUCAUUGAAUCAUUUAGAUUAAAACAAUAUCUAAUCACGCUUUGAUUAAAGCGUAAGUUAAUUGUGUUGGCUUGAUCCAGUACUAGAAUGAUAUUUAGUAUUUCUUACCUUAUCAAUUCCACUUCCGCUACGCUCGCUCCAUCAAUUGGUAUCAAAGCAAUUCUGUGCGAAUCACACAUCUUUCCUAGAUACACCAUACCCAUCCAAACCAAAUCCAUCAAAAAAAAAAAUUACAAAUUUGAAAACCCUACCCGUCAGACCAACCCCCACCGCCGCCCACCACCGCCAAUCAGCCAGCCAACACCACCACAAACCUCACUAGCCACCGUCGACCAAGCCUCAGUCAUCGCUGCCUCAACCGCCGCUUGAACAGCCGCAAAUCACCAACCCAAACCUGCGGCUCCACCAAGCAACCCACCACCAUUCAGCCACUUUCUCCACCAGCCACCUCCACCAACAAACUCGCCGGCCUUCGUUGACCAAAAACUGACCGACUUCGGCCCUUGAUCGCCGCCCUCUGUCACCACACGAAACGACAACCCACGAGUGCUUCCUACACGCGCCGCCACCAAAACACCUUCUUUUUCCGUCAAUUUACACCACCACCAUAAUCCCUAGCAGUCGGCAACCGUAAAUCCAGUCUUCCGCCACUGUAAAGCCGCCAUAAACCAAAAGCCACAUCACCAAAAUCAACCGCCAAUUCAAGUCGGAUUUUCCCCAAUUCAGGUUGCUGAAUAUAAAAAGGACUCAUGAAAAUUACCUAAAGUUUCAAAUAUUGUUAUUCAGCAACCACUUUUAUGGUACAUUAGUUUCAACCCAAAUUUUAUAUAAAUAAUUUAUAACUCCCAUUAUUAUUAUAAAAAAAAAUUGUAGCAAUUGUGGUUAUAUCACAUGAAAAAAAAAAUCUAAUUAAAGAAAUUAACAUUAUAAUUUAAGGGAUAGUUGCUCUUUUAAUCAUUAGAAUUUAUGUCAAUUAUCCAGCUUAUCCUUGCAUUCUUAAAAACUAUAUACAAUACCAUUAUCUCUGCUUUUGUAGCUAUUGAAUUUGACUUUGACAACAUAAAUAUUUAUUAGCAACAACUUAAAAUUCAAACAAAUCUAAUAUGUAAUGUAUGAAAUACAAAUAAUAAUUAAACAAAUUUUGAUUAUUUAAUAUUAAGAUAUAAUCACAUUAAUAUCAUAAGGAUAGGUGGUACUCAAAUAAUCUUUUAAAAAUCAAACCCAAAUUAUAUGCAUUAUUAAUAUGCAUUAUUGUAUAAUAUUUAGAUUUUGUUAAGUUACAACUACUAUAACUUAAGUCUCUUAAAAAAUAUGUGAGUCCCACCACCUAUUAAAUUUUUUACAUUAUUUUUGAAAAAAUUACAAGUUACAUCAGUUGUAACUUAACAGCACCCCUAGUAUUUUACUUUACUUUUAUACCUUUACAAGAACAAUAAUGUAUGAAAUAAAAAAAAUAAAUAAAUAAAGAACUGACAACGAAAUUAGACCUAUCAUUAGUUUCUUGUGGUGUGAACUCUUGACAAUCCUCCCCUAUCCCACCUAAAGCUCUCGCGUGGUGUGAAUGUUUGACAAUUCUCCCAUAUCCCUCCAUAAUAUGUCAUAUUGCGAAAAGCAAUGUCAAUUGCAAUGCCGUUUCCCAUUAGUCAUAGUGAUAGAUAGGACCAGAAUUUUUUGAAACCCCCGAGGCCCUAAACUUGUUUUUCCUUUUGAAAAUAAGAAAAUGGCACCUGUCUAGAGAAAUAAUUUAUUAGAACCUUAUAUCAUGAAUAACGGCCAAUAAGACUUUUUUUAAAUUAUAAUAUUUUUAAAUUUAUUAACUAAAAAAAUUAACUCUAAUAAUUUAUGAUAAAUAUAAAUAGGAUAUUAAAAUAAAUAUAAUAAUAUAUAGAUAUUAAAAUAAUUUCAAUAUCUAAAAUAUUAAUAUUUUACAAUCUCGUAUUCUAUUAAACCAAAUUAUAAUAAAUAGAGACAUAAUAUUCAAAUAAAUAUAUAAAAAUUUAGGUUAUUUUCAAUGUCAUAUAAAAUAGUUUUAAUAUUAUUAAUACCUGAGAAAUAUUAUAUUAAUUGUAAAAUCUAUUUAACCUAAGGAUUUAGUUAAAAUUUUAAAAUAAUUACAAAUAUUUUAUAAGUACAAAUAAAUUAAUUUACAUUUUAAAAAUUAAUAUUGAAAUUAAUUAUUUAAAUUAUAUAUAUUAGUCUUCUGGAAAAUUUAAAUUAUUUAAAUCAUAUUUACAUUUCGUAAAAAAUUUUAAGUCAAUUUGUUUGAUUACCACCUGCUAAGGGUAUUGUAGUCAAGGGGAAUAUUGGUAUUCUUUAUUAAAAAUUUGGGAUCUACAUGAUUAUUUUUCUAAAUUUUAAUGGUGUCAUUUUAUUUUUGACAAAAAUAAAAUUUCAUUUAAACAACUAAAAUGAUGAAUAAUACAGUGCUACAGUGGCGCAAGUGGAAGGUAGGAAACAAUCAAAAUGAACAGUCUAACGUCACAGCAGGCAUAUAAGGCCAAAGUUUGUUACAUCCCAAUACAAAAAGUUUGAAACUUUGCACCUUCUGAAAUGAAACAAACUUACUUGGAUAUUGGUGAUCAGUGAGAAAAGCCCUUUUUCAAAAGCAACCUUAGGGUACCGAGUGUUACAGAUUCAAUGAACCACAAAUACUUAUUUACAUUGUAGUAUCUCAAAGGCACCGAUUUCUUCUGAUCCGUUAAGGAAAACAAGAAAAAUAAAAAGAAAAGAAAAAGGGUACUUGUGCCACACAACCUUGACGCCUAGCUACAUGGUACAUUCUCUUUGUGUGUUUGAACCAAUUAACAAUAAUGGUGCCUUUACUUCUUGGACUGGAGAAUCGAAAUCCGAAAUCGAAAUCAUUAAUGAUGUUUACUUCAUAAAAUGGAGGCUGGGAUCCGAAUCAGAACUAUGGGGACCACCCAAAUUAGGAGUGAGGAAUGGAAGAUUGAUUCCUAAGGAAGGUGGUGGGAAUCAAUCCCCCAUUCCCAAGAUUGAUCAUUUUGCCCCCUCUCACAAACUAUAAAAUAUCUAUUUUGUCCUCAAUUAAAAAAUUAUUAUGAUUAAUUAAUAUAUGUUUAUAAUUUAUUAAUAUAACUAUUCUAAUCAAUUUAUAUAUAUUUUAAAUAUAUUAUUAUUAAAUAAUUAAUAUAUUAUUAUAAUUAAUUAAUAUAUUUUGAAUUUUUAUUAUUAUCGUCAUCAUCAUCAUUAUUAUUGUUAUGAAUGAUAAAUUUUUUUACAAUUAAUUAGUAUAUUAAUAUAUUAUUGACAAUAAUUAAUAAUAAUAAUAAUUUUUGAAUAAAUAAAUAAAUAAAAUUAAUUACUGAAUUUGAACAUUUUACAAUUAUUCUAUUAUUUGGACUUAUCGAGAACUUACAUGCAGCGUAGCUAGUUUGCUAGCAUAUGUAAGGUUUAAUUUGAAUGCAUGCAGCAUUGAGAAGAGACAACGCAGAAACAAAAUUUCCGCUUGCAAUCUUUUCAUUUCCCUUUUUAAUAACAAGCAAAAUAGAGGAUAAACAGGGACUUUGUUUUAAUUCUCCUGUUUUUCUGUUUGGUGAUUUUAAAAUUUUAUGUCUAUAUUUAUCAAAAAAAGUUAUCCAAAAUUAUUAUCUAUUUUUGAUACACGUUGAUUUAUUAAAAAAAAAUUAAAAACUUCAUUUCUAAAUUUAUCGUUGUGCUUUGACCUUGGGGUGGUUUUUUUCUGUUUUUUUACGUAGGCCAGAACCUUAAUGAAGAAAGUUUUCAUCGUUAAUUGCUUUUGACCUAGGAGAAUUUAUUCUUGGACAAAUUAACACCUUUGUCUUUUGAUGCGGCUCCUAGAUAUCUAUGCAAUUUGUGUCAUUUACUUUUGCUUUGUAUUCUUUUUUAAAUGAGUCCCGAUUGGUUCAUUUGCAGAUAAAUGAGUCAGUUUUUCUGUUUUUAUUUUUUGAAAGACGGUUUUUCUGUUACGAAGCUUUUCAUGGAUGAAUAUUUUUUUUUUAAUUUUAUAGAUUCUCUGCGAGUUUUGUUAGGUAGAAGGGUAUUUAAGUAUUUUCAUUUCAUAUUUUGACAUUUCCUUGACCUUUGAAGUAUUGAAUCAUUGUGCAGGUAUUUAAGUAAAUCUGCCCACAAUGAAGAAUAGUUCAGAACAGUUGCGGAAGAUAAAUGGCUCAAAUAUAUGCGUUAUGAUCUUUUAAUAUUUCGCCUCUGAUAUUGUCCACAUUGCUUACUGCAAUAGAUAAAGCACUUCGUUUACCCCAAAUCCUGAUAGGGAAGUAUAAAUAUGUGCUUCCGAAAUAGUGCAACUCUCCAUAAUUAUUUAAUAUGCCUCUCAAUGAAGCAAUCACCUUCAUUUACAAUUCUUCGAUUAUUAAUCCUACAUACACGUGUUUCUUUUGUCUCUAAAAGUAUCCUCAAUUAAUUUACAUAAUUUAAUAUAAUAAGUACCUAAGACUAGACAAAUUAUCAUUAUAAUAGUAUUGACACAAUAAUGUCAAUAAUAAAUGCCUUAACAAACCUAUAAAUUUUAGAAUAUGGCUCAGAGUGCUACAAUGAACCACAACAAGUUAUUAUAUUGUCUAUAAUCAAUAUUCCAAUGGUAAUAGAGUUUUUUUAUUUUCAAUCCGCUGCUUUUCUGUUUAGCGAUUGCCAAAUUUUAUAUCUAAAAUUCUUCUAAUUUUAUAUCUAAAAUUCUUCUAAUUUUACACUAAGGUUUAUUUUUUCAAAAAAGGGGGGGGGGGGGGGGGGGGGGGGGGGCAGGAGAGAGAGACUUAGAGAGUAUUAAAAAAUGUAAUUCUAAAUUUUUACUUGAGUGUUGUGUGAUUUUGAUCAUUUUUUUAAAGUUGGCCAUUUAUAUUGAAUAAAUAAAAUAACGAAUAGACGUUUGGACCACUUCUUUUCUGUUAUAAUAAAACAUGAGAUGUCUUCUCUUGAUGUUUUCGUCACAAAAGAAUAUGUUUAAUUAUGUCAUCAUAGGCUUAAAUGGGAUGCCUUUUCUGUUAUAAGAUCGAGAACAAGUUUGUUUAAGCACUAGAGCCGCUAAAUAAAAGAAAGGCUCAUAUAAAAAUUACCUAAAGCACCAAAUAUUGUUAUUCAGCUACUUCUUUUAUGUUACAUUAGUUUCUACGCAAAUUUAUAUAAAUAAUUUAUAACUCCCAUCAUUAUUUAAAAAAUAAAAACCAUAGCAAUUGUGGUUAUAUCAUGUGGUGUGAUCUUUUGACAAUCCUCCCACAUCCCACCAAAAACUCUCACAUGGCGUGAACUUUUGACAAUUCUUCCAUAUCCCACCAAAAAUUUGUCAUGUUGCGAAAGGCAAUGUCAAUUGUAUUGUCAUUUCCAUUAGUUAUAGUGGCAGACAAUGUAGUCCCGGGAUAAGACUAGAAGUUUUUGAAACCCAUGGACUUAUUCUUACUUUAUUUUUUCUUUUGAAAAUGAGAAAAGGACACCCGUUUCGGGAAAUAAUUUUGUAGAAUCUCAUAUCGUGAAUAAGAGAUAAUAAGACUUUUCUUUUUUACUUUACUGCAAUACUCUUUAAUUUUAUUAAUUUUAUAUUUUAUAAUAAAUAUAAAUAUGAUACUAAAAUAAAUGUAAUGAUAUAUACAUAUUAAAAUAAUUGGAUAUUGAAAAAUAUUUUAAUAUUUUACAAUCCCGUAUAAUAUUAAACCAUAUUAUAAUAAAUAGACAUAAUAUUAAUAUAUAUAUAAGUUUAAAUUAUUUUGAAUAUCAUAUAAAAUAAUUUUAAUAUUAUUAAUAAAUCAGAAGUAUUACAUUAAUUGUAAAAUCUAUUUAAUCCAAGGAUUUAUUUAAAAUUUUUAUAAUAAAUUAAAAAUAUAUUGGUUAACAUUUUAACAAUUAAUAAUGAAAUUAAUUAUUUAAGUUAUAUAUAUUAGUCUACUAGAAAAAUUUAAACUACUUCAAUCAGAUUUACAUUUAAUGAAAAAAUUUGAAGUUAAUUUUCUUUUUAUCAUCUACUACGAAUCUUGUAGUUAAAAGAGGUAUUGACAUUCUUUAUUAAAAAUUUGAGGUCUACAUAACUAUUUUUUUUUUUAUUUUAAGGGUGUCAUUUUAUUUUUGACAAAAAUAAAAUUUCAUUUAAAUGGCUAAAAUGGUGAAUAAUACAAUGUUACAGCUGGCGUAAAUGGAAGGUAGGAAACAAUCAAAAUGACCAACAGUCUAAUGCCACAGCAAGGACAUGAGGUCAAAAAAUUCCCUUAUUAAUUAGUAAAAGAGAGUCACUUGGGCUUAUGGCGGGCAAAAUCGGAUAUAGAUCAGAUUCAAAUUAAUCCGAUAAAUUUGAUAUUGUUUGCAUUGAUAAAAAAAGUCACCCAAAUGCAAUCUAAACAUGUGUGUGUGUGUAUACAUAUUUGUUAUAAAUUAAAGUUACAAAAGUCUUUAACCAAGGCCAUUCAUAGUAAGUUUCAAAUUUUUAGGUUAAUAUCUGUAACUUCAUCAUGCUGGCCAUAAAUAAAGCUUGCAGGUCUAGGCGGGAUUGACUCGAGUUUUUUUGCCAAUCCUACGCAUGACGGGCGGUGUUAGGAAUAAUAUCCUGCAUCAAUUGAGUAUUGAACUUGGGUUCAGCAUAUAAGAUUUGGACAACUCUUAACUCUUGAGCUAACUUACUAAGUUUUGGAUUGAGUUAAGCAUGUAUGCUUCAAUAUCACAAAUUAGUCUUUCGUUACCAUUACUUAUUUUUUCUAUUGUUUAAUCCUAACACAAUAAAUGACCUUUCAUCCCAAAAGAACUAAAGUAAUCAUUUUAGACGAAUUAAGACACCAUAAAGUAAAUCUGCACACUAUGAAAAAUACUUUGGAACAGUUAAGGAAGCGUGAGAAUACUUGGGGAAAGCUUCAUAAUUGUUACGGCCGGAUCUACACUCUUUCCUCUAUAUGCAAUAAAUAUAUGCGUUAAUGAUCUCUCAAUAUUUUGCAUCCGAUAUUGCCCACAUCGCUUACCACAAUAUAUUCACUUUAUAAACAAAGUUUACAACCCAAAUACUAAUAGAGAAUAUAAAUAUGUACUUGUCAAUGAAGCAAUCACCUUUAUUUAGAAAUUUUUUAUUAUUAAUCCUACGUACACACACCUCUUUUGUCUCCAAAAAUAUUCUUAAUUAAUCCACACAAUUUAAUACAAUAAAUACCUAAGAUUACACAAAUUUUCAUUACAAUAGAAUAUAUAAUUUAUAAUAUUAUUGAUACAAUGAUGCCAAUAAUAAAAAUCCUAUAAACCUUACAAAUUUUAGAAAAUGGCUUAGAGUGUGACAGGUUGAAUGAACCACAACAAAUCAUUUACAUUAUAGUAUCUAUGAUCAAUAUUCUAAUGAUAAUAGGGCUCCUCCAUUUUCAUUUCCCUACAUUUUCUGUUUGGUGAUUGUCAAAUUUUAUGUCUAAAAUUUUUCUAAUUUUACAGUGAGGUUUAUUUUUUAAAGAGAGAGAGAGAGAGACUCAAAGAGAAUUAAAAAAAAUGUAAUUCUAAAAUUUUACUUGUGCAUUUUGUGAUUUUUACCAUUUUUUAAGUUGGCAAUUUGUAUUGAAUAAAUAAAAUAAUAAAUAGACUUAUGGACCACUUUUUUCUGUUAUAAUAAAAAUCAGAGGUCCUUUCUUGAUGUUUUCUUUCCAUAUGAAUAAAUUAGAAUUUUAUUGGUACAGUAAUGUCAAUAAUAAAAUUCCUAACAAACAUACAAAUUUUAGAAUAUGGAUUAAAGUGUUACAAGUUGAGUGGAUCACAACAAGUUAUUUAUAUUGUAGUGUCUAUGAUCAGUAUUUCAAUGAUAUCAAGGGUCCUCUAUUUUCUUUCCCUUGCAAUUUUUGUUUGGUCAUCGCCAAAGUUUAUAUCUAAAAUUUUUCUAAUUUUACACUGACAUUUAUUUUUUUUUUAAAAAAAAGAGAAAGAGAGACACGGAGAGAACUAAAAAAUGUAAAUCUAAAUUUUUGCUUGUGCGUUAUGUGAUUUUUAUCAUUUUUUAAGUUGGCCAUUUGUAUUGAAUAAAAAAAGUAAUAAAUAGACUUAUGGACCACUUGUUUUUUUAUUAUAAUAAAACAUUUUCUUCUCCUGAUGUUUUUCAUCUCACAGGAAUAUAUUUAUCUCAUCGUGGGCCCAAAUGGGGUAAAUAAAUUGGGAUCAAGGACAAGUCUGUUUAAGUGUUGAAAUUGCAAGAAGACCUCAUAAAAAAAAUUGCCUAAAGCCCCAUUAUUGUUAUUCAACUAUUACUUUCAUGACACUUACACAAAUAAUUUAUAACUCCAUCUUUAUUUAGGGAAAAAACUGUAGCAAUUGUUGUUAUAUCACAGGAACAAAUUCCAAUUAAAAAUAUAAUAAGAAUUAAUUGCAAAUUUUGUAAUAAAUAUCAAUAUAAUUUAAUAGUUUAAUUUUUUUUGGUAGAGUAAUAUAAUUUAAAAAAUUAAUAUUUAAAAAAAUAAUAUCAGUAUUACUUUUUAAAAUGCAAAUUAUUAAAAUUAUAUUAAUAAUGUAUUUUUAUUUAUUAUAAAAUUUAUUUUAAUAAAAUCUUAAAUUUUUUUAAAUAUUUGUAUAUAUUGUUAUAUGUUAUUAUAAUAUUAUAUUUAUAUUUAUUAAAAUAUAAGAGUUAAUAUUUUUAAAUUAAUAAAGACAAAAAGUAUUAUAAUAAAAAAGAAUUCUUUUAUUAAAAAUAUAAUCAUUCUCCCAAACUUAUCCUUGUCCCUUUUUGAAAGGAAAAAAUAAAUUAGAAAAGUCUAUGGUCAUGAUAACUUCUAGCCUUGUCCCGUGGGACAUGGCUACGGUGCAGAAGCUGAAAGUAACAGCUUCGAACUUUCCCAUUUCCAUCACCUUGUUGAUGGUUGUUGAAGCCAAUAAAAAUAAAUUCCUACUCUAAAUAAAUUGUGUAUAGUGAUUGAGCAGGGUCGUGUCCACAGAGAUCGGUAAUUAUUUAAAUUCUUUUGAAACGUAAAACGUAAAAUGGGAGAAUUGUUGACAAUAAUAAAAAAUCAAAUUAAAAUAACAAAAAUGCAAAUUAAAGUUGUAAUUCAAAUUGGAGAAAGCUUUGGUUGAAGGAAUUAACUCAGUUUGAUUCGACUACUGAUCAUUGAUUCAAAAAUAGAUUAUUAUUACUUAUGAAUAAACUGGUUAUAGCUAUUGAGACCCUCUAAUAGCCAAUCUCUCCUUAACUAGUCGAUAACCAAGGUACGACUAUUGGAUAUUUCCCUAAUCAAUAGACAACCCUAGAUACGAUCAUAGGAUUUAAUCAAUUGACAGCCUGAAAAACCAGAGCGACCCAAAUCCUAAUCAACACAUAUGAUGAUUCAUUUAAAUUAGAUUGUUUAUUCCCAUAACACAACUCACUGCUAUGUUAUUUGUCACAAACAUUAAACUCGUCAUACGAUGAAUUCUUUAAUUGACAAUAGAUUAAGUUGAUAAUUAAAUAGUGGCCAAUUACCUAAUUAACAAACAUAAUCAUGAAACUAAUUCAGAGAAUAAACAAAUACCCAAAAAGUAAUAAAACAAUUAAAGCAUAAGAAAGAUCUCACAGUAGUGAUGAAUCAAAAAUUCAUUAACCUUCAACUAGAAAAAAUAAGUUUAGUUUUUCAUAGAGAGAAGAGAAAAAUUAGAUCUAGGGUUUCUUUCUUUUUCUCCAAUUAAAAUCCCCCCUUUUUCACAAUAGAUUCCUCCCUUAAAUACUCUCUCUCUCUUCUCUUUUAAAGUUCUAUUUAAAAUAAAAUAAUAAUAUUUGAAAUAUUAAAUUCGUAAUUACAAAAAUAGCCAAAAAUACAAAACACAUUAAACUAAAAACUGCAGGUCCGCAGUUGACAGCACGCGCCCACGCCUUAUCUAUAAAGUUCUUCUGACGCUCUAAAUUUCUCCAAGAGAACAAUCAUCUUUAAACAUCAUCUUAUACCUCAAUUCUAUCACAAAUCAAUAGAAUUGCACUUACAAAAGUAAAACACAAGUAAAUCAUUAUUAUUAAAUGCAAAACAUCGAUAUUAAGGGAAGUAAACAAUGCAAAACUAGUGUAUAAAUUGUACUCUAACACUUGUAUUGGGACCUCUUUCUCUCUCCUAUAGCCCCCAUGGAAGUUCCCCAUUGGCUGCUGUUACUUACAGAAGCCGUAACAUAGACUUCUAGCCAUGUCCCGUGAUGUCCAUUGUCUGCCACUAUGAAUAAUGGCAAUGACAUUGCAAUUGAAACAUUGAAAAGGUAUUUUCGCAAUAUGACAAAGCUUUUGUUAGGAUAUGGGAGGAUUGUCAAAAGUUCACACCACUUGAAACUAGAAUUAGAUCUAAUUUCAUUUAUUUCAUAAAUUAGAAAAGUCUAUGGUCGUGAUAACUUCUAGCCGUGUCCCGUGAUGUCCAUUGUCUGCCACUAUGAAUAAUGGAAAUGACAUUACUAUAAUAAAAUGACAUUGCAAUUCCAAUAUGCAAUUGAAAAGUCUAUGGUCGUGAUAACUUUUGUAAUAUGACAAAGUUUUUGUUGGGGUAUGAGAGGAUUGUCAAAAGUUCACACACCACAUGAAACUAGUGUUAGAUCUAAUUUUAUUUCGUCCGUUCCUUAUAUAUUUAUUUCAUACAUAUAUGUCUUAGGGUGAUAUUGUUUUGUAAAGAUAUAAUAGUAAGGUACUAUAAAAAGAAAAGAACUGUGUGUAUACUUCCCAGUGUAAUAAUUAUAUGUAGAAGAAAACUAACAAGAGGAAAAAUGACAAAGAGCAAGGCGCUGGUUGUUGGGAGAAGAGGACAUGUCGGCAGAGGAUAGAGAAGCCAAUCUUAGCCUUGUUGAUUGAGGGCUCAUCUUCUGAUCAUCGUAGCCUUGUUGGAGCUGUCAAACAAGUCGAUGUUGUCAUUUAAGGAGCCACAACAUUUUGAUGCUGCUUAAACUUGUUGGGGCCAUCAAAUAAGCUGUAAAUAUUAAGGUACGUAAGCCUUAAUUUUUAUGUAAUUUUAAUUUCAGAUCCAAAAUUGCAUGCAAGCCAUUAAUUUCUUUCCUUUUUUAUUUUUGAUUUGAUGAGGUGCUUGAUUUGGUCGGGUGUGUAUUUUUUCUUUGUUCUUUUUUUUUUUAAAACAUAAAUCUCCAAAUCGGGUUGGAGCGGGGAUUCUAACCCUACGAUGGCCAUAUUAAAAUUUAAAAUUUUUUAAUUUAUUUUUCUACAUCUCAAUAUUUGAAAAAAUGAUUAUAUAGAUCUAUAUAUUUUCAAUAAGAGAUACUAAGAUACUCUUUUUUACUAUAACACCUACUAGCUCUAUUAACUCAAAAAAUUAGCUUCAAUGUUAAUAUAUAUAUUUUAAAAUAAUUUUAAUAUUUUAAAAAAAAUGAAAAAAAUAUUUUAAUACUUUACAAGCUUAUACUAUAUUAAACUAAAUUUUGUAAUAAAUAGAAACUUAAUAUAAAAUAAAUGUCUAAAAAUUUAAAUUAUUUUCAAUAGCAUAUAGAAUAAUUAUAAUAUUAUUAAUACCUAAGAUAUAUUAAAUUAAUUAUAAAUUCUAUUUAACACAAAUAUUUAACUAAAUUUUUUAUAAUAAAUAUAAAUAUAUUAUUAAAAUAAAUCUAAUAAUUAACAUUUUAAAAAAUAAUACUGAAAUUAAUUUUUUAAAUUAUACUAACACUAGUUUCACGCUGUGCGAACUUUUGACAAAAACUGUUAAUUGCAAUUUCUUUUGAAAACAAUAGAUCAAAUCAUUAAAGUGCAUGUGAUGAUUUGCUGUUUAAUUAUUUCUUUAGAAUAUAUCCAAACGUAAGGUUGUGAACUAGUGCUUUCUUCAACUUAAUUGGGUCCAACAAUACACUGCAGCUUCCUCUUUUGGUCAUUCCAAGUUUAAUUCUUCAUGAAAAUCUUAGACACUAAUACAAGGAUAUCGAAUCCAAAAUUAUAAUAAUACAUGUAAUUAUUCUAUACAUGCGUCAACAAGGCAACAGUAACCAAAUACAUGAUAUGCAAAGGGGGUGCAUGAUUAAGUCCUUUUUUUAUUCAAUUCAUUGUUAUUAUUCUCAUCAACUCUUUUCUCACUUAUUUUUCAGCAGUUACCAGUGAUCUUUUUGCUCUUUAAAAUUAUUCUUAAAUAUUCAAGGCUAAAUAGAGAAGCUCAUCAACUAUCUGAUCCCGGAUAAUUAAAGAGGUGAACUUGUUCUAAAUCCUUUGAUAAUUUCUAUUAAUAGCAUAAUCUCCUUGAUCUUGACCGCAGUUAUUUCUUAAUGUCCAAGAAAAAAAUAUCUCCUGUUUGUCUUAAUCUUGUCAUUUAAUUUUCUUGAUUUAAGUUACUGUUCAUUGUUAACUUCUGUGUUCUUGUUAUUAGCAUUUGUUAAUUUGCAUCUCUCCUCUAAAAUAGUUUCUAAAAAAGAAUGUUGCUUUUCAUUCAUACCCUUGAAACCUUUCAGUUAAUAGUCAAAACUCUAAUCUUUCAGUUAAUUUAUUUGAAUCCAAUUUUUUCAACAGCAAAUACACACACACAUUGUUAAGCAACAGCCAAAAAAGUGCAGAAAAACCAGUCAAAUUUAUACAUGCGUCAACAGGGAAACAGUAACCAAAUAGGUGAUACAAAAAGGGGUGAAUGAUUCUGUCUUUUCCUUUUGCAAGUCGCUGUUAUUACUCUCAUCAACUUCUUUCUCGCACAUUUCUCAGCAGUUACCAGUAAUAUUUAAAAUCGCUGUGUAGAUAUGCAAAAGUUCCGUAAGUGCAUUAAUAAUUAUUUGCCAGAAAAAAAUAGUUGCGUCAAUAUUAAAGGAAUUGACAUCCAGGGGACCCAAUUUAGUUGCUUAAUGAUUAUUUAAUUAAUUAAUUUAUAAUAUAUUAAUCUUUUAAGUUGAAUAAUUAAAAUCUUAGACCCGAAACAAUAAAUCAUCUGAGGCAUAUAAAAGAGAAAUUAUCAUCCUAUUUUUUCUUUUUUCUUUUUAACUUCUUGUAGCUUAUAAAAGAGAAAUUAUCAGUCAUUUACUCAAAGUUUAUUCAAUUAUUAAAAUUAUUAUAAAAAUUUAAAUUUAUUUAAUUUUACAUCCAAUGUAUGCAAUUUGUAUGAAACAUCUGUUAAAAAUAUAAAGUUAUUCGUUCAAAGUGACAAAAUAGAACCGAACACAAAAUUGUAGUGGUGAUUAUGUUUUAGGAGUAACUUUAUUUUUUUAGUAAACAGUUGAUACACAUUGUAAUAAUGGGUAUAAAAUUAAAUAUUUUUAAAUUUUUAUAACUUUUUGGAUAAUAAGAUAAUUCUUAGAUGGAUAAUUGAAAAUUUUUCUUUUCAAAAUAUUUUGAAAACAAUACCAAAUGUACCAAAACAUUGUUUACUUUCACUCUCUCUCUCUCUCUCUCUCUCUCUCUAUCUAUCUAUCUAUAUAUAUAUAUAUAUAUAUAUAUAUAUAUAUAUAUUAUUUCUUAACUCAUUCUUAUCCUUAUUCUUUCUAACAUAUCCACAAUCUGUCAAUGAAAUUUACUUUUAUAAAUUUGAAGAUUUUUUCAUGCAAUUUUAUACGAUGAUGAGUUCUCAUGUUUCUGUUAAAAAAUAAUUCGUAAAUAAUACAAAUGAAAAAAACAAAAAGUAGCAGGGCUGGCAAUACAAAACCAUAACUUUUUUUCUUUGAAUUUUGCAUAAACAAAGUCAAUAGUGAUUUGUCAGCACGAUCUUGAGAGCACGGCUUGGAGUCUCAAUAAUUAUUGACACUCAUAUUUGAAAACUUUCGAAAAGAUAAAAUCCAAUAUGAAAGGUGAAACGUUAUAAUCAUAGUAACUAGAAAAUGGAUUGAUUUACAAAUAUCAAUUUAAACAAUUUUCAUGUUGAUCGACAAUUUAAGUAGAUUGACAAAGAUUGAAGUAAUUACUGUUGGUGAUUGAUUGACUUUGUCCUUAUCCUUGCCUUCUUCUUAUCAAAAAUCGAGUGUCAAUUAAAUUGGGCCAGGGUUUCUGAUUGCAACUAAUGGACUUCAUAUACGCAUAAUGGUCCCUACGUACAUACGUACCAAUAUUUGAUUGAUAAAGGGGGUGCAUGCUUAAUGCUCAAGUCGUCUUCUUUUGGAAAUUCAUUGUUAUUACUCUCAUCAACUCGUUCCUCACAUUCCUCUUUAGUCAAAACCUGUAAUAUUUCUUCUAUAUUCAAGGUGAAUACAGCAGCUCAUCGACUCUGAUCCCAGACAGGUAAAGAGGUGCACUUGUUCUAAAACCUGUAAUAUUCUUUUAGUAGCAGAAUCUCUGAUACUUGAUCUUCAUAGCGGUUCUUUCUUAAUUUCCAUCAACUUUCCUAGGAAAAAAUUCUCUGGUUUUUCUUAAUCAUAUCAUUUACUUUUCUUAAGUCAUAUCAUUUAUUUUUAGUAGCAGAAUACUUGAUCUUGAUAGCCAUUCUUUCUUAAUUUCCAUCAACUUUCCUUAAAGGAUACCUUUCUGUUAAUAGCGAAACCUCUGAUCCUUAAGAUAGAAAAAGAAAUUCUCUACUUAUGUAUCAGUUGGUUCAAAAUCAAUAUCGCGAUGUUGUUUGCGGUCUUUUCUUUCUCUGUCUUUCCCUCUAGUUCAUUUUAAUUUAUUUGUAUUCCUUUCUUUGACAUUUUUAUUCAUUUUAUUCAUAUAUAUACAUAUAUUGUUAAGCAACAGGCAAUGGUUGCAGAAGUGGGUCUGGCUGCUUUUUCCAGCAUCGUAUCAGAAGAUGCAAAGUCACUGUUCAAACCGAUUAUACGGCAGAUCUCUUAUGUGUUCAAGUACCAGAGCUACAUAGAUGGCCUAAAAGAUCAAGUGAAACAGUUGGGAUAUAAAAGAGAAAGGGUGGAAAUACCCGUUCAUCAGGCUACUCAACAAGGAGAUGAGAUUUAUAAGGAUGUUGCAGACUGGCUUAAUAGCGUCAAGGAAUUCACUCAGGGAGCUGCGAAAUCCAUCACUGAUGAUGAAGAUAGAGCUAAGAAGUUCUGUUUCAAAGGAUUGUGCCCAAACUUGAUUUCUCGUUACAAGCUCAGUAGACAAGCAGCAAAGGCCGCAGAAGCUGCUGCUAGUCUCAUGGGAAAAUGUAACUUCUCUAAUGUUUCCUACCGUCCUGCUCCAAAGCGGGCAGAACAUAUGCAAGUGAAAGAUUUCGAGGCCUUUGAUUCAAGAAUGAAAGUAUUUGAAGAUGUUGUGGAGGCGUUGAAGGAUGAUAAGCUCAAGAUAAUUGGGGUCUACGGGAUGGGCGGCGUGGGUAAAACCACGCUAGUCAAGCAAGUUGCAAGGCAAGUUAUGGAAGAUAAGGUGUUCGACAAGGUCGUUAUGGCUGAGGUAACACAGACCCCAGAUCAUCAGGAAAUUCAAAAGAAACUUGCUUUUGACUUAGGCAUGAAAUUUGGCUCGGAUGAGAAUAAAUUCGAAAGAGCAGAUCGAUUACGUGAAAGAUUGAAGAACGAGAAGCAGGUCCUCGUUAUAUUGGAUAAUAUUUGGAAAAAACUCGAGUUCGAAAAAGUUGGAAUUCCUUGUGGGGAUGUUGAUGAGAAAGAUACAAAGGAUGAUCAGAGACGAUGCACAAUAAUAUUGACGUCUAGAAGUCGAGAUUUAUUGCGCAUUGAUAUGAAUUCUCAGAAAAAUUUCCCGAUCGAUGCUUUGCCACCAAAAGAAGCAUUGCAGUUAUUUGAAAAGAUAGUGGGUGAUUCAACUAAAAUAUCUGCUUUUCAAAGUAUAGCAAAUGAGAUCGUUGAAAGAUGCGGAGGUUUGCCUGUUGCACUGAGUACAGUUGCAAAUGCUCUGAAAACUAAGGAUAGUUACUUUUGGAAAGAUGCAUUGAAUCAGCUAAGAAGAUCGGAUGCUAGAGAAAUUCAUGGCAUGCAAGCAAAUGUGUACACCUCCAUAAAAUUGAGUUAUGACUUCUUGGAAAGUGAGGAGGCAAAAUCUCUGUUCCGUCUUUGUAGUCUAUACAGUGAAGGUAAUGUCAUACAAGUUUCUGACUUAUUGAGAUGUGGUGUGGGUUGGGGUUUGUUUGAAAAUGUUUACACAUUGGAAGAAGCAAGGAGUAGAGUGCAUCGGUUGAUCGACAACCUCAAAUCUUCAUGCUUAUUGUUGGACGGUGAUGCUGAAGAUGAAGUUAAAAUGCAUGACGUCAUUCAUGUUGUUGCCGUAUCAAUUGCCAGAGAGGAGCGCAUGUUUAAUGUUCCAAAUGUUGCUGACUUGGAGAAAAAGAUGGAAGAGACAAUACAGAAAGAUCCAAUUGCUAUUUCAUUACCUCAUAGAGAUAUUCAAGAGCUCCCUGAAAGGUUGCAAUGUCCCAAUCUCCAGUUAUUUUUGUUGUAUACGGAGGGUAAUGGCCCUAUGCAAGUUUCAGACCACUUUUUUGAAGGGAUGGAAGGACUCAAAGUUUUACAGUUUCCUGGAAUUGGCUCUUCUUCAUUACCUUCAUCACUUGGUCGCCUCAUUAACCUUCAAACAUUGUGUUUAGACUGGUGCGAACUAGCAGAUAUAGCGGCAAUUGGACAACUAAAGAAAUUAGAGAUUCUCAGCCUCGCAUAUUCCAAUAUCAACCAGCUACCAGUUGAAAUUGGACAAUUGACGCGGUUACAAUUGCUAGAUUUGAGCAAUUGUUGGUGGCUUGAGGUGAUAGCACCGAAUGUCAUAUCAAAAUUAUCUCAAUUAGAAGAAUUGUAUAUGGGUAACGGUUUUUCAGGGUGGGAGAAGGUUGAAGGAGGAAGUAAUGCCAGUCUUGUCGAAUUGGAGAGGUUGACAGAGCUAACUACUUUGGAGAUAGAAGUUCCGGAUGCCGAAAUUCUGCCGCCGGAUUUUGUCUCUGUGGAAUUGCAAAGAUAUAAGAUACGUAUAGGAGAUGGGCCCGAAGAUGAGUUUGACCCAUUGCUCGUCAAAUCUGAAGCAUCAAGAUUGAUGAUGCUCAAGGGGAUAAAAAAAGUUAGCAUUCUUCAGGAGAAUGAUGGGACAAAAAUGUUGCUGCAGAGAACUGAAGAUCUCUGGCUAGAAACAUUGGAGGG
This 59496-nucleotide long non-coding RNA is filed under the name Citrus maxima (pomelo). Its description in RNAcentral is "long non-coding RNA (CMAX_LNC001426)". Lineage: Eukaryota; Viridiplantae; Streptophyta; Magnoliopsida; Sapindales; Rutaceae. The record is from RNAcentral.